CAGCCCAUAGUCGAAAGACGGUUGCUCGAGAGAUGUUGAACUUCAAUUGUGCUUCCUUGUACCUGCCUUUACUGGGCUUCCCAUCCUUACUGCCUUCAAGGAUAAAUUGUGCCACUUGAUUCCUCUUUUGUGUUGUUAGAUUUGUGCUCAUUUUGUAGUAGCAUUGAAAUGUGUAAAUGCAUUUAUUAGAGAGAGGCUGAACUCUUAAUGCAUUUAUAAGCACUAUUUUUAGAAUUUUGGUGGGAACCCCAAUCUGUAAAGUGGCGCCACUUUCCAAAUUUUAAUUAAUGAAAUUGUUUUUGUAUCUCACUUUAUGCAUUUAAUUAAAGAGGCUGAACUCUUAAUGCACUUAAAAAAGGAACGUUUUUUUAACAUUAUUAAUAUUCAAAAUUUUAAUAUUUUAAUUAAAAUAAUUUAAUUAAAAUAAUUUAACUAAAAUAAUGCAAUUAAAAUUAUUCAGAAUUUAAUUAAAGUCCAUCUACAAAAAAAGUAAGAAUAAAACAAAUAGAAUAACAAACUAAUCACUUUUCACUUUAUUACCUACUACACUUGAACAACUAAACACACUUUUCUUAAUUCCCGUGCCCAAAAAAAAGGUCUCACAUACCACGGGACGGAGGGAGUAAAAGAGAGAUGAAAUUAACAAAACAUAGUAGAAUUAUACGGUGUUAGAAUGGAUUAUUGUGAGUUGGGUGUACUUUGUCAAAUUUUGUCACAUAUCAAAAAGGCUAUACUUGAAUUAAUAGAAAAUAACAGAAUGCUACACUUUCAUCAGCAAUAAUGAACAAAUUUGGUAAACAGACGCUCAAAACUUGCCAUGCUGUUACAACUGAAUAAUAAUAUGUACAUACGAUCAAAGCUUGGAGCUCAACAUCUGAUGGAAAUUCAUGUAGGCUUAAUCCAAAAAUCGGCGUGUUUACUCUUUUUAAGGAUUCUGCAUCUCCUGCGGUGGUGGUUUGUUACCAGAAGGGUGAUCAGAUGGAGAAGCACUCGAGCCCGACUUAGGAGUCGAGGUGCUAUGCUCGACUUGAUUCUCCGACUUCAUAUGAGAUUUCAAUGGCCGCUCGAAAUCUCUGGCUGCAGCAGGAUCUAUCACUAAUUUGCCUAGCUUUUGAUCCUGCAUCACCCACAAUUCGAAACAUAAGCCCAGCGACGCUCCAUUUCUCCUAUCUAGCAUUCAAAAUAAGUGCGAAAAUUCUAUCAGAUCAGACAGCUUACAUUCUGCAGUGCUUCAAGCUUCCUCUGCAGGGCUUCAUGCUCUGCCUGGAUACGGAAUGGAACGCCAUGCUUCUGAUACACGUUUGUUUGAGCCAAACCUUCGUCAAUUUCACUAGCAGUUGUUGCAAAAGGAUGAUUUGCAGGGAUCCAUCUGACAGUAUCAGGGUCUACAUCAGGAGGUAUCGGAUCCCCUUCCUUGAGAAAUACUGUUGGUCUCUUCCACUGGUAUGCACGGGAUCUUCGUUUCUGAUGUACUGUUUGUAGCUCGUCUGUAAGAGUCACAGGAGCAAGGCGGUACACUUUUCCACACAUUUCAACAGUUGAAUUGCUUUUGCUGACCUUCACCAUAGGGUUGUUAAAUGGGUCCUCAUACUUGAGAGGUGUGGAGCUGUGAUGAAGAACGACAAAAGGAAAAAUCAGGACAUGCAACGACCAAGACCAAGAAUCGGAGAACAUAACUUGGACUCUCAGCAAGCAAUAGGUAUGAAAAUCUUCAGAAGAAUUCAACAUGUGGAAUCUGUAUAUUUAGAUAAGCCUGUGGAACCAGAGAAAGAAAUGUGCCCAGAAAAAUUGAACUCUUACAUUGCUCAUCAACCAUAUCAAAUUAAGGCAUGAUUAGUGAAACCAAGCCGACAACCAAAGAAAGAAUUGUGCCCAGAAAAAUUGAACUCUUACACUGCUCAAUGAUCAUCAACCAUAUCAAAUUAAGACAUGAUUAGUGAAAGCUAAGUAAAGCUUAGAAACUUUAAAAUCCUAGAGCACAAUCUCAAUGAAAGCAAGUUAGAAUCAUACAUGCCUCUUCUAUCUGAUCUAAGCUGUCCACGCCGGACAAGAUCAGCCACGGAGCCUGGACGACGGUCACUUGACUUCUUUGAUGCAUAACCUUUAACCACGACAACUAAUACAGUCGCUACAAUGCACAAUCCAAUUGUGAAGUUCAUACCAGAAAGUUUUCUAACCUGCCAAAACCAAGAAAACGGAGUAAAUUUUUAACGAGAAUCACAUCCACUAUCUUAUGCAUGGUAAUGCAAUGCUUGAUUGGAAGUAAAGGUUGAGCUUUGCAGAAAUUUUUAAAAUUUUGAUGUAAGAAACUAGAGUUUCAUCCCAAGACAUUGAUAAACAUAGAAGCCGGUUGCUGAAAUUGAAUAGUACCCAUCAACCGAACUAUACUAUCACCCGUUAUCCUACACUAAAAGUUUCCUCUCUUAUCUGAAGCAACAAAAGAAGCUCUCAAAUGGAAAUAACUUCAGGGUAUUACAGCAAAUUUAAGAGUUCAACAAUUGACAAUGACAUAAGAAAACCUACAGAGCCUAGAGAGUAGAACAUAAAAAAGUAAACAAAUGUGUAAAUGAACAUAUAGCAUAGAUCAAAUGAAACAUGAAACUCAUUUCUUAUUAAGAUUGGAAUAAAGUUAUAAAGAUCAUAAUUCCAGAAAAUAAAAAUAGCUCACCGAGAAGGCGAACACCGGUAGAGAGCCAAUUGAUUCCUGCAAUUUGGCAACUACAUUUUGCUGUAGCUGUGGCUUCUCGGCAUUAACUUUCUCCGACUUCUCGACGACAACGGCAUCGUUUCGGAGGCCACUGUCGACGUCGGACUCCACUGCUUUCACCACAAACUUUCUGUAUGUAACUCUCCGGUUCGAGUACUUGCAGUUACAACCCAAACCCAGCUCCGACCAAAAUUGCAGUCCAUUUCGAAAAUUUCGAAGCUUUGCCCAAGAAAGUAAGAAAUGAGAAAUUCCAAAAUGUGAACACUCGAAAAUAAGAAAAUGUCGAAUAGAAUCGCGAGAGCGCCUGAGAGUUGACUUACAGGAAGGAACGACAGCGAACGAACGUGUACUGCCCCAAUUGAAGCCAUUUCUGGUACUGCUGUUAUUGGCGGAAUGGCAAAUCGGAGAUCAUUCCGGCAAAAUGGCGAUAAUUUAGGGCAAAUCGAGCUGGAUUGAGGUAGACGAUUGGGGAUAAAGAUAUUUGGUAUGUUAUUCUAAGUGAACGGGCAUUUUGGAGCCCGCAAUUGACUUUUCGUGUUAUAUUAUAUAGUAAGCCCGAUGGGCUGCAAUUUUAUGAAUAUUACAUCUAAUAAAAAUACUCUCUCCCUAAGGGUGCCUCCAACAAUGAUCCCAGUUUCUAGUUUCUAAAUUGCCACAUCACUGCUACGUCAGCUUUAGAAACCCACCUACUUUUUUCUCUCACAUCUCCUCCAACAAUAAACCAGUUUCUUACUUUUUCAGGGUUCCACCAUAAUACACACUCCCUCUAUAUAUCUAUAUAUAUAUUUCUCAAUUAAUUUUAUUUGUAUUAUUAUUUAUAUACUUUAAUUAUAUUUUUAAAUUAAAAUUCUAUAUUUUAAUUAUCUAAUUUAAUAAAAUAAAUUUAAUUUAAAAUUCUAAAUUAUAAUUAAAAUUACAUUAAUAAAAUUCAUAUUACAUUGCAAAAAUUAAAUUACAUUAAUUGAAACUACAAACAAACAAACAAUCAAAGAAUUAUUUCAAACCAAAACAAAUGAAAACAAAGAAAUAAAAAGCUGUGACCGAAAAUAUUAAAUAAAUGAAAAAAAAAAUAAUCAACAAAUGUGUUCAACUCCAAUAAGCCGCAAAACAAAAUGGAAAAAGAAAAUAAAAAGGCAAAAGAUGAAGGGGGGCCCGCAAUUUGUCAGAGUGAAGCUGGGUGCAAUUUUGCACCUAGUUUCUUGGCUUCCAAAUUGAAACUGGUUUCUUCACACUCCAACGGUGGUUCCCAAAAGUGAAAACUGGAAAUUACCACCGUUGGAGGCACCCUAAGUCUCAUCGUCCCAAUAAAACUGAAUCGUUUCCUUUUUUGGUAAAAGUUAUAUAGAAUUUAAAACUCUACUAACAUAACUAAUUACAAUAACAUUGAUAGGGUUUGUUUUUGUGGAUGGGAUAGAUAGGAUCAUCAUAUUAAUAGGAUUGGAGGAGUGAUUAAAUAAUUCACUCAAUUUUAAGAUGAUAAAAUAAUCACUUAAUUAAAUGAUUAAAUAUGGAUCGAAUUAUCAAUUAUGGACUCAAUUAUGCAAACCAAACACUUGAUUAAAAUGAAUUAUUUUAUCAAUUAUAUCUUAUCACUCAAACCAAACACCUCCCAAUACAUACAUUGCCUUUAAAUUCACAAAUUGAUUAUAAAGGUUGUGGAGAAAUAAGGAGACUUUUAUGUAAAUUGAUUACGGCAAAUUGAAUAGCACAAAAAUAUAAUCUGAGUGCAAAAAAUUGACUACCACAAGACUUUUAAGUAAAAAAAAUUAUUACUGCAACAACAUGAACAAGGCGAUAACAGAUGUACUUAUUGCGAAAAGCGGGAGAAAGAAUAGUAGAAAAAUACGGCAUAAGGGAGAAUAAUAUUGUGGGAAGAUCACUCUCAAAAAAAAAAUAUUGUGGGAAGAUUGAAUAUGGUUAAGUUUUGUUCAACUGAUAACUCAAACUAGACUUGAGUGCAUAAGGAUUGAGUGCUUAUUUGGUUCAACUAAAAAAUGAAAAAAUGAUGAAAUCAAAUAAAGGAAAUGAUUAAUAACAAAAAUUUUAUUUUUAUUAAGUGUUUGAUUUAACAAUAAAAAAGAAUUACUAGGUAGGGAUUCAUUUUCUUUUAUUGCUCCUCUAUUUUUAGGAUUAACAAAUUGAGUGAUUGUGUUACCCUUCUCUAUUUUAAUAGCUAACAACAUUCAAUAUACUAAAUCAUUUUCCAAGCUCCAAAAAAGUCCAACCAAUCAUGGGCGGAAUAUAACUUGAUUGGUAUUUUGAUUAAUCAAAAUUUCAAAUAAUUCAGUUACCCAUAGCAUAUUUCAAGUUUGACUGGCCAAAAUUUUCAAUUCAUGUAACUGUAACGAACUCCUACACCUAGAUUUUUGACGCAAUUAGGAGCGUUUACUUUGAAAAAUUAACCUUGAUAGGUAAAUAUAAUCAAAUUAAUCUCUUGUUUGUUUAGAUGGACUGGAACUUUAGAAUAUUAUAAGGCUUUGGAUGAUUUUUAUCAUUUAAGCUAAUUUUACUUUAUUUUUAUUCCACUAAAAGAGUUAGAUUUGAGAAAAUCUACUUUUAAAGAUAAAAAUACUCAAUCAUGCAUUUAUCCAUCAUGUAAAGUAAAAAUCUUCUAAGGGUGCUUUCUCUUUGGUUGUAAAAUUAUCAUGGAAAAAUGAGGGAUAAUCAAAAUUUUACUCUUUAAAUCCUUCAUUUCUUUUCAUUCAUUUUCUACUUGACCAUUACUUAUUCCUCAUUUUCACUAUAAAUGAGGGAUAAUAUUAUCAAACCAUUUUUGGAGGGAUAAUAUUAUCCCUCCUUUGUAGUGAAAAUGAGGAAUGAGUACGUAAGGGGUAAAAUAGAAAACAAGGAAAAAUAUUGAAAAGAUUUAAAGGGUGAAAACAUAUUUUAUCCCUUAUUUUUCCAUUAUAAAUUUACCAUCAAAGAGAACGCCCCCUAAGUGUAUAACGACGAAAAAUGAUUUUUUAUAUAAAGAAAUAAAGUUUUAUACGAUUUUUUUUGUAUAGAAGUACUAUCGUAAUACAAAAUUUUAGUAAAUAUUUCCUUAAACUCACGUGAUUGAUACGGAACCAUAAUUCACUUCUAAGCCCACGUUUGGUUGGGUGUUUUUAGAGGUUGAAAAGAGAAUCAAGUAAGUGAAUCCAUUAAUUGUUGUUUGGUUUUGGUAAUGAGUUAACCAUUACCUUUACUUGAGGGUAACUCAAUCACCCAAUUUGUUACCCCUCAAAAUAAAGGGGAAACAAAAGAAAGGAAAUCUCUUACUAAUGAUUCGUUUUCAUUGUUAAAUCAAACACUCAAUAAAAGUAAUGGUUAUUGUUACCAUUCCACUCCUUUAUUUGAUUCCAUUCUUCUACUUGAACGAAACGAGCACUAAAUAUAAUUAUGUAUAAUUUGCAUAGUUGGCCGAUUAGUUUAAUAUUCUGAAUUUUUACAUUAAGUGGUAUCCUGAUAAAUUUGAGUGGAACAAUCAUAAGUCAUAACCUCUCGUAGAAAAUAUUUAACCUUAAACGUUGACUACUCUGCGUCACGCACACGAUAUUAUAUUUUUCAUCAAUUCAAUUCAAUUUAUAAGAGCUCAUUAUUAUUCAACAAUAAUUAUUAAGAAGAAAAGGAAAUAAUAAUAAAAAAUUAAAAUGAUAGAAUGUGAUGGAGCCACAACUUUUUAUAAGAAAAUGGGAUUUUUUAAAAAAUAGAUCAUUAUUAUAAUUGGAAAAAAAAGUUAAAAAUUUAAGAUGAUAGAAUAUGGAGCCACAACUUUUUAUAAGAAAAUGUGGAUUUUGUUUUAAAACAGAUCGAGGUAUUUCUCCUCAAAAAAAACAGAUCGAGGUAUUUUUAUUUAAUUUUUGGAGAUUAAUCCAACUCAUAUUUUCUUAGUUUCGAAAAAAUUAUCCAUAUUUCAAUAUAGUUAUGUAGGAUUCUAUUUUACUUAAUAGUUUAAAUAUACAAAGUCACGACACUUGAAAAGAUUAAUUGAUUUUUAACAAUAUUAUAUAUUUGCUGCACUCAUAAUUAUAAAUUUAAUAUAGAGCAAAAUAUUAGAUUGAGUCAGCCUACAAUAAAGAAUUAGUUAGAUAAAAGUUGAACUAGAUUUGGUGGGGUGCGCCAGGCCCAUGCAAUAGUGCAACGCAAGGACGACGCGCGAGAACCCAGAUAGCAAGCUAUCUUGAUGGGCCCUCCCCCUCAAGAAAUAAAUUUAAUAUCGUGUGGGCCGAUGGCCCACAUAUCAGAUAUUAAACUGAUAAGAACAGAUACUACACUUGAUCUUAGCCAAAAGGCCGAGAAAGGUAUGAGCUUACACUCUGUUUGGCCUGGUAUUUAUACUAGUAUUUCUUCACUUCUCUUUUAAACAAGAAACGAUGUGGGAUGCUAGAGAAAGAAAACCUUUGAGUUCCUAAACUUUGCCUAGUUCGAGUUUACAGUUCGGCUUCCUUUCUCACUUGCAUUGAUUUGUAUUUAUAUGUGUGUCAGUGUGUGUAAUGAAAUGUAUAUGGAAUCUUUGUACACUUUUUUUUUAGAAGAUCAAGAUAAAAAUAUAUAAAUGGUUACUACAAGGGGUACUCAACUCCUAAAGCACUUUUAUAAGGAGAAUUAGAACAAGAUUACAAGCUAAAUAGUAUACACUCUCUCGGAUUAAAACACCAGUCUGCUAAUGAAUAGGAGAAAGACUUAGGAUAGUUUGCAUGUAGCCAUUUUCAAGAGUUAAUCUUCACGCCUUCCACAAUCUUUGCAAAAUUCAGAUUAAUGUCCUUAAAAAUAAGCCCGUUUUCUGCUUUUCAAAAUUUUCAAAUUGUGCAUUGCCAAAUUAAGAAAAAUUAAUGUAUAAAAUGACAAUAUUGAUCAUAUUUUUUACACUUAAAUAUUAUCACACUAUAUUAUAAGAAAAUUAAUGUAUAAAAUGUUCAUUGAGAUUGAUUUGGUGCAUUAUAGAUUAAAUAUUAACACUCUAUUAUAAGAAGCUCAACAAAACUAAGGAGAACCCGUCUCUUUCUCGGCUAUGUUGAUGCUUUAUCAAUAAAAAUCGACGAAUACAUACUAGUUUUUUUUUUUUUUUGAUCGAGCAAAAUCAUGUUAGAUGUUAGUAGUUAGUUCCUUCAUCCACUCCAAGAACCACCUUAUCUCUCCAUUCACCAAAAUCCACCUUAUAUCUCCCCAAUCUCCAAUUCGCUCCCAAGAGGGAUCGAACCCGGGUCACGAAUACAUACUAGUAGUAUUUCCUUGAGCUUGUUGUAAGCUUUAUAUGCUUUAAUAUAUAUUGAGAAGGGCAACACUAAUGAUUUCCUGUCUAAUUUUUGGUUUAUAAUCUUCUUUGUGUAGAUAACCUUGAAAAAAUGUUAAUAACCGUUGCAUUAUGUAUAUAAAAAUACGCAUUAUUGUUCCAUUUAGGUAGGUGCAAAGUGGCAUUUUUUUCCUUUGGGUAUGCCCAAGGUACUUAGUUUGUAAGUUUCUUUCUUUAUUUAAUAGUAUAUGGUAUUUUUCAUCAAAAAAAAAUACUGCAUUAUAUAUGGUCUUGAACAAUGACAAACAUGUGCAUUUCUUACUUACUGUGUUAGCCUAUCUGAUGCUCAAAUCAUUAGGCAACUCAACAAUCAUGGCUUUUUUUUGUGGCAGCAACAGGUUAAUGGCUUUAUCUUUUCCAAAAUAAAAUUUACUUUUUAUAUGAGUUUUGAUAUUUCAAAUUCGAAGUACCAGUCCUUGAUCUAAAAAAAUUUAUGCCAAAAACUUGCAUAAUUUUUUUUUUUUAAAAAUGUUACAACCAUAGAAAAGAAAAAAUCCACUCACACUCUAGUUCCUAUGGUGACUCGAACCCCCAACCUAUUGGUUAGAGGAAAAGUGUCUUACCAACAGACAACGCUUCAUUAUCUGUGAGCAUUUAUUAUAAAUAUUGCUGACAUGUGUACUUCAUGUUAGUAUUUAUAUUUUUCUUUUUUCAUGAUAUUUUUUUUCUUAUAUCCCACAAGUCAUUAUCAAAAUCAUCAAAUUUUCAAUACAGGUAAGAAAUCAAAGCUCAAGUCAAACAAUCCUCCAUGUAUAUAUCCUGAAAAAAUAUAUGUAUAUAUAUAUGAUGCCCACAUUAAUAUAUAGGAGUUAUCAACUUUGUUGUUAGUGGGGUUUAGUGGAAGAAUGGAGGCCCCUCCAUCUUGGGUUUAUUGAACGGCUACCAUUGAAAGGCAAUAAAAUGGAGAAUUAAUAUGUCCCUUCAUAAAUAAAUUAUUGCAAUAUUUGCACCAUUUAGUUGGUUUAGCGUUAUCAUAAUAGGUUAGAAGUUGGCAACUUUUAGCACAUAAAAAAGUCGGCUGUCGGAUAGAAAUUGCAAAGUUCGUUCAUAUCCUCGUAAAUAUAUCUCUCUUUAUUUUAUGAUAUCCUUGAAAUUAUCAUAUGAUUAAUUUUGUCAUUUUUUAGUUGCUCUUUUUGUUGUUUAACAACUAUUGUCCAACAAGAUAUAAAGCAUCUUAUAUAGUUCCAUUAUAUUAAAAGGUUAUAUACUUCAACCAUUUAUAUAGGUGUGCAAAUUGAUUUUUGAUACUAGCUACUAGAAAAGGGUAAAUUUAAUGUUUUAAUUAUCACUAGUGCCAUGCCAUCAUAAAGUUUGAAUAUGAAUAUCUUUUCGUUCUUAUUAUUAUAACAAGAAUAUAGUAUUGGAAUAUACUUUGAAACUUCAACCUCAGCUCCUAGGUCCUGUCUAAUUGGAAAGGCCAAAGGAAUUCCGUUAGGAAAGUUGGUAGUCACUACAAACAUGUCCUAACUUUGGAGUCUUUUUAAAAAAUGAAACUUUUGUUUAUUUAUCUUUUUAAAAAGAAAUUUUCAAUUUUGAUUGAGAUCGAUGAUUCAACGUUAAAAGGUUGAAUUAGCUCAUAGUGAAUAUCAUAUGUUGAUUAUGGACAAAAUUGAAACUUUUGGUUGAAUUGAUUGUUUCGCCACAAAAAAAGGCUACAGAUUAUCGACAAAUUUCACCUUAAUUUCGCUUGAGAGGAAACAUGCAAAUUUGAAAAUUAAUCGAAUUUGGACAUAAUUCCGCACUAAUUAAGUUAUGUUGAACGACAUGUAAUAUUGGAAUAGAGUAGGCACGUGUCUGACUACCACAUUAGCCCGAGUGAAAUUUAGUUUUUGCGAAAUUUAUAAUUAUAGAAAAAAUGAACAAAAUAAAAAAUUAAUAAUUUUAUAAAAAAACUUCAAAAAGCAUGUGCAAAUUAAAAAGUGGAAGCAAAAUUCGUGUAUUUAUAUGUAGUACUUUUUUUCCCAAUAGAAACCAGGAUUCAAUUUUUAUAGUAUAUAUAUGUAUAUUUCUUGGCAUUUAACAAGAAAUCAUGGUUCAAAUCGUGAGAUACAGGGAGAGGUCACACCCGCCGACGUGGAUCGCAUCUUCCGAGAGGUAGUCACUCCUGAUCCGAAGGGGCGCAUCAUGGGAUUAGGUAUGAUGAUGUCGAAGGCGCUUACUUCAGGCGACGGCGAGUCGAGCACCUCCACCAGCACCUCACACUUCGAUGCUCCUUCAAAGGCUGAGUUUACCACUUUGAGGGAGGAUCUUGACACCACAGCGAGUGCUCUGACUAGAGCAGUGCAGGAGAUAGAGGCCAGGAGACAUAGAGAGGAGGAGCAGGCUAGGACUAUACAGGAGAUGCAGUCCCAGAUCGCGUUGCUCAUGCGAGGAUUUCGACCAUCCACCCCUUCUGAUGAGACUCACCCAGACCUUUGAUUAUGCUGACUAUGUUUGAUGUACUUUUUAUGCUUUGAAUACUGAAUUUCUGUUUUUGUUGAUAUUUUCUAGGAUUUUCUACUUUGUUAUGGGAUGAUUAUUUGUUUUUAGUAUUUUCAAGAUUUGGGACUACGAUUAUUAUGAAUCAUUUAUAUAUUGCUAUGUUAUGGAAAUAAUAAUAAUAGUAUACUAAUAAUCUGAAUAUAUAUAUAUAUAAUAAAUAAAAAAUAAAUAAAAAUAACGAACCGAAAUUCGGUCGUAGAAAGAAUCUUUCGGUCAAGGUCUCAUAACUGUAUAAACAGUAUUCAACGACCGUUUUUCGGUCGUUGAUUAACGACCGAAUGUUCGGUCGUUAAUAGUGCCGGUGGGGAAAGACCGGUAAGACUGCCGGAAUACCAACGACCGAAAUUUUCGGUCGUUAAUCAACGACCGAAAAACGGUCGUUGAAUUACGAACUUUGGUCGUAUGCUCAACGAAAUUUACGACCGAAAUUUCGGUCGUUAAGGCCGAAAUUUCGGUCGUUAGAAUCAACGACCGAACAUUCGGUCGUUAAAAGCCGCGCGACGCUCGAAGCUGCGACGCCCUUGUACGGUCGUAAAUUCGGUCGUUAACCAAUUUAACGACCGAAUUUCAGGUCUUAACGACCGAAAAUUCGGUCGUUAACGCCGCCUUUUCUUGUAGUGUCUAUUGUACUAUUUAAAUAAAGAACAAUUGAUUUUUGUAUUUUGUCGAUUUCUCCCUUUUCUUUUGAAGAGAAUAUAUUAGAUUCUAUUUCCCACUAUUUGUUAAUAAUUGGUGUGCGCAUGAUCUGGCGUGGUUCGAAUUGAAUAAAUGAAUAAGUCAAAUCUGUUAUUAAUAAAACUCUAAGUGUGAGCACUCAACAUAAAAAAAAAGAACAAAAAAAAACCUAGAAUGAAAAGUGUGAGUUGGACUGACAUAGCUCACAUUAUCUUGCAAGUAUCAAUCACUAAAUUGCUGCAUAAAAUACAAGAAUACUAGUAGUAUAUUGUAAUAAAUGUACAUGCAAACUCACUUACAAUGUGAAAAUGGUUUAUUCUAUUAUUAAUCCUCCUUUUAAAUGCAUAAGUAAGUGCAUUUAUAUCUAUAUAUGAAUGUAACAUUGAAAAAUAUAAUAGGGAAAGUUUUCAUACAACUAUAAUGAUAACAAGGGAAACAACAUAACAAAACGCAAGAAAUCUGGUCGAUGAAGUCGUUAGAUGCCUACAUCUAAAUUAAUUACAACUGGAAUUUUCGAUUGUUAAUUAUAAUGGCUUCUCAUAUAAUUUUUUUUUACCAGAAAACAUAUUUCUUCAAAAUUUACAAAUUUCAUUAUGAGUCUUGGAUUAAAUUUCUAUUAUUAGUGGUUCAGAAUUUUUGAACAUAAAAAUUCAAGAGAAUGUAUGAAUUAGUAGUGCCCACACUUGUUUAAGUGUUAGUAUAAUAUUUUUCAUUUAUAGUCUGAGCUACUUUUAAUUAGAUUAAUGAAAUACAUGUCACUAAUAAUAGAACGGAAGAAGUAUUAGUAACAUUAUGAUUAAUAUAGUUUAUUUAGGAAUUACUUUAUAUGUCACACUUUAAUAGUCUCUAUUCUUUUAAAUAUCUCAUGAUUAGUCUAUUUCUAAUUAUAUUAUAUUUAAAUAUUUUUUUACUAAAAUAUUUUAUUUAAUGUGUUCGAAGAUUAUAUAGAAUAAUAAAUAAGAAAUUAUAUGUAAAUUAUAUUUUUAAUUAAACAACAUUAAUUAUAUUCUUCGUUCAUAAAAUUUUUUACAUUUUAGUGAUUUUUUGCACCCAAAAAAUAUGUCAUUUUCCUUUUUAGGAAAUGAUUCCUAUUUUUUUUCUUAUCUUUUUCUUUUAAAUUAAAAUACUUCUUAUUUACAAAAGAAUUAUUCAUGUUUCACAUUUAAUUCAACUUCAAUAAUCUAUACUAUAUUAAAAAGGGAGUUUUCAAUUUCAAAUUGAUUUCAAAUCAAUUUCAAAAUUGAAUGACAAUUUUGUGGUUAGAAUAAAAUUGAAGGUUUAUUUAUAAGUUAUACAUCUUUUUUUUUCUUUUUCUUUAACUUCUUAUUUUUCUAUUUUAUCUCUUUUUUAAAAUUGUGAAAUUCUACUAAUUAUAAAAUAUUUGAUAUGGAUAUCAAAUUAAAGAUCAUGACAAGAGCUUUAAUUUGAUAUAUGUUAUGUAAAAUUGGAUUUAAAAUAUAAAAAUUAUAUUUAUUUAAAGAUUAAAACUUAAGAAAAUUCUCUCUCAUCUUUUUUUUAAAUAAAUCUAUUUUUUUCAAUUAUCUUUUAACUUAUUUUGUUUUUUUUCACAAUAUCAUUUAUUAUUAAUAUGAAUUAUUAUUUAUUAUUUUUAUAUUAACCUAAAAUAUAUUUAUCUUAAAUAAUAGUAUUUUUAAUUAUAUUUAUAAUUUUUAUAUAAUAAUCAAAUGAUAAUCAAUUUUAUGGAGUAUAUAAUAAAAUAUAAAAAUAUUUUUUGUGCGUUGCACGAGUGCAAAUGCUAGUUUAUUUUAUAUAACGGUGGAGUCCAUUUUUAACAUAUUGAAAUUAUUAAAUAUUGCAAUAAAAUCUAUGUCAAAUUAAAAUUAGGGUUAAGUAUCAAAUAAGCCCCUAACAUAGAGGCCCUUAUCACGUUUAGAUCCCUAUAGUCGAAGUUGGGCCAACUAAACCCUCAAGCUGCCUAAUUUCGAACAAUCGAGCCCUGCCUCUAACGGUCAGUUGACGCCGUUUGUUUUCAUUUUUUUAAUACGUGGGUUGUAGAUGAAUUCUACGCCGGAGCGGCUCUCAAUUCUUGGGCGAAAAUAUGUUGCCUCAAAUCCAGCAACACCAGUUGGAGAUCGACGCCAUAAUUUGCGAACAUGUAAUUAUUCUGAUGCACCAAUUAGAUUUGUUGAAUUUUGGUCGCAAGGAUUGGAGAAUCGGUGAUGAAAAGGUUGAGAGAGAAAGACGAUCAAAUCAAGAAAGUGGCGAAAUUGAAUCUAAUGCUUCAGGAAAAAGGCUAAGGGCCUCUACGUUGAGAACCAGCUAUGGCGAGAGAUGGCGCAGAUGAACGAGGCGGCGGGGAAUUCCCGUGCGCACCGACCUCCAACACGCCUUCGCUCAAUUCGGCGCGGCAGUGGCGGGUGAGAAGGNCUAUGGCGAGAGAUGGCGCAGAUGAACGAGGCGGCGGGGAAUUCCCUGCGCACCGACCUCCAACACGCCUUCGCUCAAUUCGGCGCGGCAGUGGCGGGUGAGAAGGAAGUGGAGUCGUGAGGCAGCUGUGACGAUGGGAGGGAUAUCGACGGCGGAGAGGCGAACAGUGAGAGGAGGCUGUGCCGGAUAUGGAACCCACAUCGGCUACCAGAAACACUCUGAUGCUUCAUCUUCUUCGAGGGCUCGAUUGGAGAGAAAGCCCAGAUCUUUGCCCAAAUUACCUAUUUUAAUUCAGUGAUCGGGGGAAUUCAGUGAAGGUUUUGAAGAAUAAUUCUGAAAGAGUGGGAGAGACACCAUUGUUCAAGAGCUCAACUCUAGUUGGCAGCUCAGGUGUUCGACGAAAUGCUGCAGAAGAGUCUAAUGGUGGCAAUGGCAGCGCUGCAUCUGCGGUUGUGCGAAUUUGAUGUAGAAAUUGAAUCUGAUUGGGAUGGAGUCUCGAAAUCUGCUUUUGCGGUUGUUUCUAGUGAGCGUGGCGAAGAAGAAGGGGUGGGUCCCACCACUAACGAAAUAAAAAAGAAAAUUAAUUUAAAAUAGUUAACGGUGUUAAACGACCGUUAAGUCGAAGGGGCUAAUUGUUCGAAAUUAGGCAGUUUGAGGGUUUAAUUGACCCAAUUUCAACUAUAUGGAUCUAAACGUGAUAAGGGCCUUUAUGUUAGGACUUAUUUGAUACUUAACCCUUAAAAUUAGUAAUAUUUUCAUAGAUGGAGGAACGAUCAAAACUUGUAAUUAAAUCGGAUAUAUGACUGUACAUAUGAAUAUAGGCAAGUUUUAGGGCGCCAAACUAAUUACGAGAUAAAACCUAUACUAACUAUGCUUUCCCUCGGCUCCGGCCGCAAUCCGGCGACGGAACAGCCGGUCGACGGCGGAAGGCGGCCGCACUUCCGGCAACGCGCUACCUCCAAAAUCUGGCGGCACGACGGACAGGAUGCGUGGGAGGCCAGCCACGUGUCGACGCACCCGACGUGGAAACCGUGGCCGCACUGCGGCAGCACUCGUACCUCAUCGCCGGCGGCGAACUCCGCCAGACAAAUGGCGCAGUCGUGGAGCUUCGCCGCCUCUAAUUCGUUGCCUUGGCCGUAGGUGAGCUUCGGCAGCGAUUUCAGAACCUUCUUCUUCAGGCCUUUGCUGGAGGCGGUCGCCGGCGACGAUGCCGGAUAUCUUCCGGCGAGGCGGCGGAUCCAGGAGCAGCGCGAGACGGCGACGAGUCCGAGCACGCAGAUUAGGGCGCAGAGGAGAGCGGCGAUGAUCACUAUGAAGUCGGAAUCGAUUGCUUCGAUCGCCGCGGAGGAGUCGCGAGACGGCGGCGAGUUUGCGCCGCCGAGGAGAGAGCGGGCAGUCAUGUAGAGAGAGAAAGGGAGUAAGGAGUAGCGUUGAGGUGUGGAUGGAGGUUUGGAAUUAAGCUGGGUAUUAUAUAAGGAAAGGUAGUUGGAGAAGCAACUUUUUAACUGAAAUUUGAAUUUCUUCGAAAAUUAAAAAACUGACAUUUGAAUUAGCUGAUAAGGGAUAAGAUAAGUCUUGCCGCCGCUCUACACACGUUUAUUUAUGUAUGUAUCCUACAAUAUUUGAGUGCUAUAUAUAUAUAAUGUUUGUUUGGUAUUCAUUUAAUUCAGUCACUACUCACAAAACAUCUUUUCACAUUGAUUAUGAAGAUGCAUGUAUUGUAUUGUAUAAUGUGUCUUUCAAAUAUGUAGAUGAAGAGCACCAUAAUUCAGAAAACGAAAGGAAUUCUUUUCACUCCAACUUUUAGGAAUAGUAGUUUCAUCUUAUUUGAGAAAGAAGAUUGGUAGGGAUUCGACGACACAUGUGUUACUACUGUAAUCACAUAUGAUACGAUAAUUUGUUGUUCAAUAAAUAAUUUUUUUAGCAAUCGAAUGAUUAUAAUUUCAUAAUUAAUUAGCGAUGGCUUUUGAGUAUUCGCAUAAUAUUAUAUCGUUAUUCCAUCUCUAAUAAGAGAAAAUGAGCAUAAAUAAAAGGACAAUGUCGUUUGAAUAUAAAGAAGAACGUCUACAAUUGAAACCACGUGCUAAUUUGCUAUCUUCAAUACGUACAAUAAUUAUCACGAUGAACUAUUUUUUAUAUAACCAUAUAUUUCUAAUGUUCUAUCAUUGAGUUCUUUUACGCUCACCUUCACAUGUGAAAUAUUUCACGAAAAUAAUGAUUCCAAAUUGAACCAAACUAUGGGCUCUACAAAUUUAAUUCCAUCUUUAUAAUUUAGAAAGUUCACAUGAUAAGUAGCAGAGUUUACUAUGGAAUCGAACCACUUGCCACUUAAAAAGGUGAGUGCAUUUCAACCCAUCAAGAAUUAAAGUCUUCAAAUAUCAAGUGGGUCAUUAUUUGUAAAUAGUUUUACAAUGAUUAAAAGCGAGAAAUUGUAAAGAAGAGUGAAUUCAACUUCGAAACUUGAAAAUUAUUUUUAUUUGGAUACAUGAUAACAAGUUAUAAUAGUUGAGGAUUAUUUUGAGAAACUAGCUAGAUUUUUAAUUUAAUUAUCAUUUAUAUAUAUUCUCACAUUUAUUUAUACACGCAAUCUAGCAAAUUAAUGUCGCAUUAAUUCGUUUUUCCUUGGUCGGCAACACAGCGAAAUUUGAGCAACUGCGCGCACAUGCACCUCACCAAUAGUGCUAUAAAUAAAUGUUUGCCCAUAGUUUCCGUCUCUAUCUUAAAUAAUAUUUUUGCUAUUCGUAUAAAGUUACAUUGAUAUGUCAUUUGACACGUAUCGCUUUAGACUAAAUAUUUAGGAACUAAAAUAUUUUUUCAAAUAAAGAUAAUAAUCCAUAUAUAACACUACUUCUACUUUUGCAUGUCAUAACAAUUCCCCUCUCUAACUAAAACAAUGCAACGGGUGCAGUGAUAGAUGGAUAAGGACUAGAUAUCUGUUCGGCAAACUAUUGAAAAAUAUUUUGUUUUGUUUUGUUCACUUUUUCUCUCUUUGGUAUUAUACAAAUGCAAUGCACCGAAAACAGUUAUUUUAAAUAAGAUUCGGUAAAACUUCGGUGAAUUUCAUAUAAAGCAAACAAUCAACGUACAUAUAUACAUGGGUGGGCUAAAAUAAAAACACCUCUUAAUAUAUAAAAUAGGAAUCAUUUUCAACCUUUAAUCAUCAAGAUCUACGGUAAAUUAAUCACUUUGUUGGAUGAAUUCAUGGUCCCGAGUUCGAAUCUCAUAAAUAGCAAAAAAAUUAAUUUUCACAAUUCAUACUGCAGUUAAACAGCAAAUUCAUACGUGUUCUACAUAAAAUUCAUGCAUUUAAACUAGUUUAUAAUUUAUAUGUUAAGAUGUGUUUAUACUGUAGUCUUCUCCGAUAUAUAUAUCAAUGACAGUUUAAUGAAUUCAUAGGUUCUAAAAUCAAUAUUUAAUAAACUUCACAUAUGCCAAAACAUUUAUAAAGAAGUCUAUAUUUAAUUUGAACUAUAAGAAAUAUAAUUCUUAUCUCUUACCUUAAUCGUAUACCAGUUUAAAUUAAACUGUUAUACGAUUUCAGGAUUAAAAACGUCAUAUUAUAAAUAUAAGUUUAUAAAUCUUAGUUACAAUCCUCCGGCCGAUAAGAAACAAGAGCUCCCAUUUAUUGGGAGAAAAUAAGGAAUUUAAUUAAAAUCCUGAAAAUGUAUCACUCAUAAAUCUUGCAUUCCUCGUCUGCAGGGCUAGUCUUGCAGAAAUCCUCCAAAAGGGUCUCCAGUGGCGUCUGCAACGCCAGUGGGCCACUUGUUGGCUACCAAAUGAGCUAAAAUCCACAACCCUUUGGCUGAAAAAACACAUGCAGAUGCAGUUGAUAUGUUAAUGUAAUGCAAUAGGAAGAAAUUAAUUAAAGUGGUGUUGUUGUUAAAGAGUUAAGACCUGUAUCCCCACUCGUUGUCGUACCAAGCGACGACCUUGAGCAUGUCGUCGCCCAUGACCAUGGUGAGCGACGAGUCGAUGGUGGAGGACACGUCGCUGCACCGGAAGUCCACUGACACCAGAGGCUCGUCGCACACCGCCAGCACGCCCGCCAGCGGCCCCUCCGCCGCCUUUCUGAAUGCCGCAUUCACAUCCUCCGCCGAUAUCCCUUUCUUCGCCACGUUCACCACCAGAUCCACCACCGACACGUUCGGCGUCGGCACGCGCAGUGCUAUGCCGUUCAGCUUCCCCUUCAGCUGCGGCAGCACCAGGGACACCGCCUUCGCCGCCCCCGUGCUCGUCGGCACGAUGUUCAGCGCCGCCGCCCGAGCUCGCCGGAGGUCCCUGUGGGAAGCAUCUAGAAGCCUCUGCACCCACAUCAUCAUAUCAUCAACCCUUUCUACUUUUUCAUAAUUGCAAUAAUCAUAGUAUAUAUGGUUAUUAAUUUACAAACUAGGGGACACUAUGAAGAAGUUCAAAUACUGAAUUAACAGAAUUUCACAAAACUAUAUAUACCUGAUCACCGGUGUAUGAGUGAGUAGUUGUCAUAGUUCCUUUCACAAUGCCUGCAAAAUUGCAUGACAAAACUCACUCAUUCACAAAAACAGAUGGAUAGAUAGAUAGAUAGAAGAAGCAAAAACUCCUACCAAAUUCUUCAUCCAAAAUCUUGACAAAGGGAGCCAAACAAUUGGUGGUGCAAGAAGCAUUGCUGCAAGAAUUCAAACAAAUUAACCACAAUAAUGUCAACUAAUGGCAAUGGCAAUUGCAAUGCAGCUGCACCACAAGUCUAGCUAGCAGCAACCUGAUGAUAUCAGCGACGUCGUGGUCGUAGUCGUGCUCGUUGACACCAACGACGUAGGUCGGGAUAUCAGCGCCCUUGGCCGGAGCAGUGAUGAUGACCUUCUUGGCUCCGGCUUGGAUGUGCUUGCCUGCUCCCGGACCAUCCACAAAAACACCAGUCCCCUGCAUAAAUUCUUCAUCAAUCAAUCAAUCAAGAAGCUCAAAAACUCGAUUAUUGUGGUGAUGAUGUACCUCGAUGACAAUGUCGAUGCCUAGCUCAGCCCAAGGGAGCUUGAGAGGGUCCCUGUUGGAGACAACCUUGAUGAGCUUCCCAUCAACGCUGAUCGUCUCGUUGUCCACUGUCUUCACAUCCGCCUUGAACGUGCCUAGCAUCGAGUCGUACUUGAGCAAGUGAGAAGCCUACAAUGCAAUGCUUAUGCAAGAAUCAGUGAGGGAUCAUUCUUCAACCUUAAACAAAACUGAUUUUUGGUCUCAAGUCUCACGUUUUUCACGCCACCGCUGUCAUUGACGACCACCACCUCCAGUGGGGAGUCCUUGCGGCCGUGCCAGCAGCGCAGGAAGUUCCUCCCAAUGCGCCCGAAUCCGUUGAUGGCGACCUUCAGUUUGGCCACAGUCUCUCCCUUAGCAGGAGCUGAUCCUGCAGUCUAAUCUUGCCCAUUUUCACCAUAGUCAAAACAUGAGAGAUCCCUAGUUUUGAGCGAUCAAAAACUUCAUUUAUUUCAACUAAGUGUAGAUGGAUUUAUAUAUUUUGUGCCUUAAACCUUAAAAUGUAUCAUAAUAGUAGCAUCAUCUAGAUCAAGAUGCCUUGCUAUAUCGACUUUUGGGAGCAAAAGAAGGCGAUAUUCGAAGUGAUCUCUACUCGAUUAUCGGAGAAAAGGCAGGGGAAAGUACCUUUGGGGUGACUUGGGCAGCCACUGCAUCAAAAAAGGAAGCUUCCCUACCAUUCUUGGCAAAAGUCACACAACCACUGGAUUUGAGGCCAGAGAAUUCUGCUACUUCAACUCUCUAUACAACCAUGAAAAUGAAUAAGAUCAAAUCCCUUGAAACCGCGAAAAUAUCACAAGAAUUGAAAUUUGAUCAUUCAAGUUAUGUAGAUCUAAAAAAAGUGUGGUAGCAAUUUGCAUCAAGAAUUGACCUUUGAGAAGCAUUGAGCAGGGAAAGAAUGAGAGGUCUUGGAAGGGAGCUUUGUGCAGGCUGGGAUUCUUGAAGAGGCCAAAGCUGCAUGGGACGCCAUUGCUGCAACUGAAAAAAGUUAAAUGAAAAAACUUACCAACAUAUAAAUUUUUAGAACAUGAAUUCAAUAUUGAGAAAGUAUUGUUUUUUGUCAUUUUGUUGGCCUAGAACUGAAACAAAUGAGUCAAGAUAUUGAGUGGUGAGGAUGGAAUGUGGAGAUUGAUAUUGGAUAAGAUGAUGCAUUUUCUUGCACCAUCAAAAUGCAUGUGAGCCACAGAUAUUUUUUUCUCCCAUUGUGGUUUUCAUUUCUUGAUGGCCCUUUUGAAAUAUUCAAUUAUUUUGAACUAAAAUUUCCCACGGUUUCCUGAAAGACUAACCAAUCAGAUAAAUAAUAGUUCUAAAUUUCUUCUGCUUGAUGAAGUAUGGGAAUUGGUGGUAGGAAACAGAGUCUAUUACAAAUAUCUUUUGCUGUCAUUACAACCUGGGAUAGAAAUGAAAAUGAUGUCUAAGAUUUGGGGUAGUGCCGUUGUGGGCAAGAAAUAGUGUUGGAUCUGUCUGUAAAUUUCACCCACUUGGCUUUGAAAUACUUGCAGUUUUUCAUAAUGUUGAAACUUGAAUGCCCAAGACAUUAUGUUUGGACACUACUUUGUCUCACAACUAGAAGGCAUAAAAUACAUAAAACACAGGUUUGUAUAGACCAAUACAAGAGGUUAUUAGACAUUGUGAUUUCUCGACAUACAUCAAAAGGCAGAACAAACUAACAGCAAAAUAGCACUAUCGUAUCAUGUCUUAAACCCGGCAUUCGUAGAACAAUGGCAUCAUCCACAGUGAAGGGUGGGUGCUGUGACCAUAUAUGUGCCUUAGAGGAAUCACCAGCCUUAGAUGAGGGCCUCGAUGUCAUCUGAGCUCACUGCUGCUCCAUUAGGUGGCUCUUCUGAUCGCAACUGCGUGGAUACAUUAUCUAUGGCAUCAUUCAGCUGUGCAAUCUUCUCAGCCAGUUUCUUGCGUUGCUUCUGCACAUUAAAUAUUUCACAAGUAUGUAAGUUGAAAGGAAACAACGGUAUGGAUGUCAUUAAACUGAAGAUGGAAAAACACCAACCGUGUCACUCUUCCUUAAACAAGAUACUAGAGAGUGCAUCUCAAAAUUGAAUGGGAAUACAUACUUAUGUAUUGAUCUACUCACACACAAGAAGUCCGUUAGACCUCAAGAUACUGCACAUUACAGUUAAAAACAAGCUUUAAUUUGUUUAUUUUUGGUUCUAAAAAGGUUUGAAGAUCUAUCAACAGAAGAAUAUAGGUUAUAUCUAAAGAGCUUUCACGAGCAGAACAUCUUUUUGAAUGGCAAUGUCCACAAUUCUUGACCUAAUUAGUCUAUGGAUAUGAAUAUAAAUAGACACCUGUAUAAGAAAUAUCCAUACCUCCAAGGCCUUUUCUUCAUCAUAGAUAAAUUUGGGCAGUUUUUUCAUGAGAUCCUUUUUGUCAGUUCCAGUUAAAGCCUUGCUGAUCUGUUGAAUAGUGGAUAGAGUACCCAGAUGUCAUUAUAUAAUUCUCUUCAACACUCAAUACAGCAGAAGAGAAUGCAAUUGCAGAAAACUUAUGAGGAAUUUUUUAUAGAUCAGCACAGUAUUACAUAAGAGUGAAAGACUAAGACAAACACGCAUAGGAGAAAAACUGAAAAACAAAUGAUAAUUCAUCUAAAAUACUUUGUUUCGAUCCUCACCUGAGGCGCAUAAACACAACCGAGUGUGCCAACAAUUAAUCCCCCUAAAACAAAGCCACUGACAAAGAUACUUGCACUGCCUGGCCUUCCACCAUCACUGCCAUAGGAUGCAUAAAACCACAAGAUAUUUUUAGAUCUAUCUCACAAGAAUCUAAAAAAAAGGAGGAAAAAUGUAGUGUUCCUAUCCUAUGUUUCUUUUAAGUACUUGUUUCACUAAUCUAGUUCUCCUUAUUCACAAUUAGAACCUUAUACAGAUCAUCUUGGUUCUUAUUUGGUGCUUGUUGGCAAAAAUACACGUAGCAUGUUAUCAUAGCAUUCAAUAAAAAUGAAAAAAGAACUGCACGCAAUAGCAAGAUUAGAGCAACUUGGAACUAAUUGAUAUAAAUCAAGCGCAAUGCAAUUAGCAGAGCCUUGAUAACAAGAGACGGGAAAGAAAACAAAAGCAAAGUGCUAAUGACAAAUUUCAUUACUACCAGUUUUACAACAAUAGUAAUUCAAUUUAUAUACCUAUAACUGGCUUGAACAGUGAGUAUCUUUCUGUGGGUGGAUGGUCUCCUGUUGCCCUUAAAACUCAAGGCCAAGUUAGUGGGUCUCACAAAUUGAUCAGCAGACUUCAAAGAAGAACCUAGCACAAAAGGCAAAAUAGACCAUUGUAAUAAGAUAAUAUUGAGAGGCACAUCCAUGGAAGGUAAGAUAUUUAGCAAGAGUAAUUAAACGAGUGGCACGAGAUGACUGCAACAUCCAUAAUUUGACUCUAACAUGUCUCAUCCAGCUUAGAAAGAAAAGUGCAUUCCUAUUCUAGUAAUCCUUCAAAGUAACAGUUGCCGUACAGAUAAAUACAUGAGAGAACAUUUAACUCUAUACGGAUCACUCGUAUUAGUGAGGAUGAGCUUCAAAAAAGUUGCUGGGCUUCUCCCAAAAGCAGAUAGUCCUAAUUUUUUAAAAAAGCCACUAAACAUUUCAAUGUAAGGUAAAAACUUCAUUGAAAUAACAACUGCAGCAAAAGUGAAUCCAUGAAUUCCUUUGCGUAGCCGUCUUCAUUAGUUUCAUAAAUUAUAAUAUGACUUUAUAUGUCACCCUCUUUCUUCACUUCACCUCUCCAUGCCCUAUUUCCCAAACAUCACAAACAUCAGCAAGUGCUACUAUGAUUAGGAAAACGAGCACAACUUCAGUUAUACAACAAAAUUCCGAUAACGAAGUAAAGAGUUUUGACUAAUAAUGCGAUUAAAUGCCCAUCAAUAUUCUAUGCCAGCACACACAAAAUCCCAGUCAAUAGUCAUUCAUAACAAAGCACAAAAAUGGGCCGUAAAACACUUAAUUCAGCACAGACAAGUAGUAAUAAAGAUAUUAGCUUAGAAAAGGUGAGACGAGCUCCAAUUUCAGCUUCUUUAAGUUCUUUAAACAAAGAAUUAGGCACAAAACAUUCAAAUCCAGCUUCCAUCACCGCAUAUAAUUUCCUUCUCAAAGUCUCAUACAGUGGUUUGAAAAACAAUGAAUUAGAAAACGUUUCAUUUAAGAAAAAUAAUAAACACGGAAAUCAAUAAACAAACUAGCGAUUGAAAAAAAAAUCCGUGAAUUUACCGGAAGAUAAAUCGAUUGCGGAGCUCCUCGAAAUCACAACGGAAUUGGACAGAGCCGCCAUUCUGAAAAGAUUUCAGAGGCGAAGGAGAUUAAAGUGCGAUGAAAUCGAGAGGAAAGUGUGGAGUGAGAGCGUGUGUGAAAUAGUUGUAGUUCACCUUGUGUUUGCUACUUUUCAUUUAUUUUCUUUUCUGUUGGUGUCGAUGAAAUCGAAGAUGUAAAAACGUUUUGUUAUGUUCAAUUUUUAGUUUUGUUUACCUAGUUGUCGUGUUUUCAUAAAUUUUGAUAAUCGUGUUUUCAUGAUUUCGUUGGUCGGUACUCUUCCGAACUGGAUAACAUUUGCUUUUUUUUGGUUUAAUUUUAAAUUGAAAAUUGUAUCGGUUCGAAAUGGCGUCUCUUCUUUUCUUUUUCUUUUUUAAUUUCUAUCAUAUUUUGAAGUAAUUUCUAUGGCUUUAAAUGUUUGUAUUUGAGCUUGUGUUUUGAUUUAAUUGUGAACAAUUAUAGUUUUGAAAAAUGUAAAAUCAGUCUUACUACCAUUUCAACUAGAUAAAUUAAUCGAGCCGAACCGGACCACUUAUUUAAAAUUGUUAGACAUAGGGUAGUUUUAAACAUAGCUCUCAAUUUUCUCACUAUAACCCAUUAUUUAAAAUAAUAAUAAAAAUAAUUAUAAUUUUACUAUUGUACCCUUAUAGCCCCCAUUUAAAGUUUAUGAUAAAUUAAUAAGUUUUAAAAAUCAAUUUCAAAGAAGAUUACAUAUAUAAUGAAAUUUUUAUAACUCCAACUCAGUUUUUUCUAAAUAACUUUUUAUAGCCCCAACUCAAACAACAUCAAUAGAUAAGAACAUAAAUAUUUACUUAUACUUUCCUUCUUUCAAACCUUUUUUCACGAUUAAAUGAAAAUAAUAAAAUCCAAACAUCACUCAUCUUAGUCCUAACCUUUUUUUCACGAUUAAAUGAAAAUAAUAAAAUCCAAACAUCACUCAUCUUAGUCCUAACCUUUUUUCACGAUUAAAUGAAAAUAAUAAAAUCCAAACAUCACUCAUCUUAGUCCUACUAAUCAUAACUUAUCAUUUGAUUAUUUCUUCUUCUCCACUGUAACCCAUCAUUCCCGCCGCCACCGUUCUUUAUUUGCCUCAGAAUUCAGGUAAUUUUCGGACAUUACUACUUCAAUCUCAAUCCAUCUGCAGUGCCAAUCGAACAGACUUGAUUUCACAACCACAGUUCUUUAUUUGCCUCAGGAUUCAGGUAAUUUUCGAACAUUACUACUUCAAUCUCAAUUUCUGCAGUGCCAAUCGAACAGACUUGAUUUGCACAAAACAAAUCUGUCUAAUUUAGAACAAAAUCUUAAUAAAAUAAUAGAAACACAAUUUAAUGCGUAUGCAGUUCACUUAUAGGAAAUAAAAUACAAAUCGAAAUCUCAAUAAGAUUAUGAUAGGAUUCCGCUUGUAUUGCGAUCUAAAUUUUCUUAUUUGCAAUUGAAAAAAAAAAAAAAUUGAAUUACUGCUAUAUAUUUCAGGAAUCAUCAUAAAUAUAUACUCCAAUAUAUAUAUAGUACAUAUACAUAUCGAAGAUCGUGACCAUUUAUUUUAUUUUUUUGAGAAAAAGAUCGUGACCAUUUUUUUUUUUGGACUUUGUUUUUUUUUUUUUUUUUUGUACUUAGAGAUCGUGACCAUUUAUUGAAAAAUCGAACAGUAUUAUAUAUUAACGAAUUAUGAUUCGCAAUUUAAUUAAUUGGACGCCAAUUAGUGAAAUCCAACUCAUAUUACGGAAUUUUCUCUAAAAACUUCUCUUUCUUCUACUAAUAUUUUUCCGAAAAAAUACCAUCAAAACCUCAAAGAUCAACUUGAUAUACAUGUUUUUUGGCAUUGGAAUUAUAGAUUAAUCAUGAUUGAAGGCAAAACCACUCUCAAUCCAUCCCACCACCAACUCCAUUUCAAAUAUAUGCAGUUUGAUUAAUAUAUACUAUUAUUCAUUGAAUUGAGCAUAUCUUUGUGUCUGUGGACAAAUUUAUGGGUUUUAUUUGUAUUCUCAAAUUUGGACCUAUUAUUACUCGGCCGGCCGGCCAUCAUAUUCUUCGUCACAACUAAGAAAGUCUUGAUGUUUCAUUUUAAGACAAAAAAUUGAAAUGUGACCAAUGUUGCAAUCUUUCCAUAAACAUAGCAACAACAGCGUAAAUUACAAUAUUUUGACCUAGUCCAAUAUCUCACACAUUAUAAUUGGCAUUAACCUCUCUUUGAUGUUUUUUCACAAGUGUUGUUAAUGGCUGCAGGUUCCGCAGAUCGGUCUCUCGAAGAAACCUCCACAUGGGCCGUCGCCGUCGUCUGUGCCGUCUUCGUCAUCAUAUCCGUCGCUAUAGAACAUGGGAUCGACUCCCUUGAAAAGGUUCCGUCUAAUCUCCGUUUCUUUUACUUCUUUUAAGUUAAUCGCUACUGAUCAUGCUUUAUUUUUUAUUUUUUUUCCGUUUGGUAUUAACGGCAGUGGUUUAAGAAACGCGAGAAGAAGGCAAUGAUCGAAGCCCUCGAAAAGAUCAAAGCAGGUUUGAAUGAUGGGACAUAAUGUUCCAUUUUUUUUAAAGAUGAUCAAUAAUGGUUCUCCAUUUUCCACUCUGACAUAUGAGCAAUAUUUAUUUCAACUUCGUGUUUUAUUUAUACUUUUUUCUCGAUUUUCUAGAGUUGAUGUUGCUCGGGUUUAUAUCCUUACUUCUGACCGUGGGCACCUCGUACGUGGCGAAAAUAUGUGUGCCUGAGCACCUUGGAAAUAAAUGGCUCCCUUGUGACAAAAAAAGCUACGAUGACCCCGAUCCCGAUGGCGAUGAAGGGAAGAAUGAGCGUAGGAGGUUACUUUCCUACGCUCAAGAGAUGGUCUGGCGUCGGGCUUUGGCUGCCGGAACCGAUCAGUACGAUUAUUGUACUAGCAAAGUGAGCGGUUUUUUUUUUUAAUGGCUAGUUAUACGAUUUGACACAAACUUUUUUAUGUUUAAUAUAUUUAUUUUAAUGGCUAGUUAUACGAUUUGACAUAAACUUUUUUAUGUUUAAUAUUUAUUUAUUUUGUGGAAAGCAGAAGAAAGUGUCGUUGAUAUCGUAUUCUGGGAUUCACCAAUUGCACAUCUUCAUAUUUGUGCUGGCAGUUAUGCAUGUUCUUUACAGUGUAAUUCUCAUGGUGUUAGGCCAUGCCAAAGUAAGUUCUUAUAAUUUCAUCCAAUUUUAUAUUUAAAUAUUUCAUUUGGUUUUGAAUGAAUAACAUGGAAAACAGCACAUAAACAAGGUUUUGCAAUUUCAAUGAUACUUUUUUUUAUCACAUUAAUUCAGAUGAAGAAGUGGAAGCAGUGGGAAUUGGAGACCUCGUCUAUGGACUACCAAUUUACUAAUGGUGAUAUAAUUUUUCCCUUUUUUUUNUUGUUAAUUUGGUUGGACCUAUGCGAACAUCAUAUUAAUUAAAAAUUGGUUGUUAUUUCUUUUUAAUUGAAUUUCAGAUCCAGCUAGAUUCAGGUUUGCUCAUCAAACCUCAUUCGUCAGGCGUCAUUCAGGAAUCUACAACACUCCCAUUCUCAAAUGGAUUGUAAGAUUAUUAUAGUUAUUGCAAUAAAUUUCUACAACAAUUAUUUUAAUUUUUGUUUUAAUUACUAUAGGUGUGUAUUUUAAUUGUAAGUAAGUGCGUCCAUUUAUUUUAAUAUACUAUACAUAUUAUGUAACAGGUAGCAUUUUUCAGGCAAUUUUUUGGAUCGAUAUCUAAGGUGGACUAUAUGACCAUCCGCAAUGGAUUUAUCACGGUAAGUUUUUACUAUAAACAUGUGUAAUUUUUUCUCAUUUUUUAUCUACGUAUUUUAUCCUCAUUUUUGCUGAUUUUUUAUCUACGUAUUUUGUUAUAAACAUGCAGGCCCAUUUUGCGCCGAAUACAAAAUUUGACUUCCACAAAUAUAUAAAAAGAUCGAUGCAAGACGACUAUAAAUCGGUUUUGGGUAUAAGGUUUGUAAAGUUAUACCUAUAUAUUUAAAGUAUGAAUGUCUUUUAUAAAUAUAAACAUUAAAAUAUUAUUAGAUCAAAUGUAUAAUGAUGAUGUCAUAUUAUAAAUUAUGGAACUAAUUACUCUUUUUUUACAUGUGCUGUGCAGCAUUCCCUUGUGGUUCUUUGCAAUUAUGUUUUUAUUCUUAAACGUCUAUAGUAAGUCUUGUCAAUAUAUAUACAAAUUCGAGAAUUUCAUCAAUUAGUUUCUUACUUUCAAUAAUAUCUUGUGCAGGAUGGCAUACAUUGGCCUGGAUUUCCGUGAUUCCACUUAUAGUGAGUCGAUAUUUCUCUUUAUAUAUUUGUUUAUUUUGUGAUAGUAAUUAAGUCAAUUUAAUUUAGAGGGUGUUUGGUUUUUUCAAAUAAUUUAUAAUUAAGUUGUUUAAGAAUUUAUAAAUUCUUUGUAAGUAUUUGUUAAAUAAACUCGUGAAUAAUUUUUAAGUUAUAAAAAUAAGUUCCAACAUCUUAUAAGUUCCUAAAAAAAAGAAAUAACCAUCUAUUCUAAUUUAGUUUUAUGUAAUCUUAUAAUGUAUUUCUAUUAUUUCAACUGAUGUCUCAUCAAUUUUUUUUUUCUCUACCAGGGAUUUUCUCUUUCCAACUCAAAAUUCUUUCUUAGUUUACAAAUUCAAUUAUCCAAUCACUUUGACAACUUAUAAGUUCUUAAAAAAUUUAUAUUUUAUAAAAUUUUGAAAAAUAAAAUCUUUGAGCCAUAAAAUUUUGAAAAAUUAUUGUUGAAACUUCUAAGUUUUUUUAAAAUAAGCUUAGCCAAACACCUUUUUAAAGUACAUUUCAAAGAUAAAUCAUUGCUUCUCCUUCAUUAAAUUUUAAUUAAUUACAAACUAACAUGUUUUCUCUACUAGCUAGCUACUAAUAUAUUUCAUAUUAGUUCCACAAUCCACAUUAACUAUUAAUAUUAUAUUGAUAUUAUCCUAGUCACUUUUAAUAUUUUAUUAUAGUGACAUUGUAUAUAUGUUGACACGAAAAAAAAUUGUGUUUUCAGAUAAUUUUAUUAGUUGGCACGAAACUUGAACUGGUGAUCAUGGAGAUGGCUCAACAAAUCCAAGAUCGAACAACUGUUGUGAGGGGAGCUCCACUUGUGGAGCCCAGUAACAAUUUCUUUUGGUUUAAUCGCCCACAAUGGAUACUCUUUCUCAUACAUUUUACAUUAUUUCAGGUAAUUUAGUAAUAUAUCAAUCCAAUACAAAAAAUCAGUUUACUUAUUUAUUUUGGUGCUUGCAGAAUGCAUAUCAAAUGGCCUACUUCUUAUGGAAGUGGGUGAGUAAUUGAUCAUCUCUAGUAGUAUUUCAUACUUUCAUUUUGGUAAAAUAUAAAUAUCAUACAGUGAAUGAUGCAUUUUUGUAACAUUGCAGUACGAAUUUGGAAUUACAACAUGCUUCCACGAGGCCCUUUUUGUAGUUCUUAUCAGAGUUUUCCUAGGAUUAGCCCUUCAGAUCGUGAGCAGCUACAUCACAUUCCCAUUAUACACCUUGGUAACACAGGUAUAUAUAUAUAUAUAGUAAAAUCACACAGGAUAUGAGAUAAUUGAUGAGAAUAUACAUUAGUUGAUAGUAAUUAAUUAAGAUGAUGAUGCGGUUGAUGAUCAGAUGGGAUCAAACAUGAAGAAGUCGAUAUUCGAGGAGCAAACAUCAAAGGCUUUGAAGAAAUGGCACCAAGCCGCGAAGCAGAGGAACAAACAGCGCAAAGGGAUCGCAGACAAUUCUAGCAUCAUGAGCGGGGAUUCUACCCCUAACCGCUCCUCGCCCAUUCAUCUGCUACACAACUACACGCUGCGGUCCAACGCACCCGACGGUGAUCGCGAUGCCUUUCCCGUUUCGCCCAGAUCGUACGCCUCCGAUACCGAGCUUUCUGAAAUCGAUGCUUCCAAACACGCUGCCGAGCCCAAGCUUCAAUCUCACAAUAUCGAUUUUUCUUUUAACAGUUCAUCUCUUCAUGGAUAAAUUAAUAUUAUAUAUAUAGAGUAUUAAUUCUUUAACAGUUAAUUAGCACUAUUUGAAGUUGUGAUUAAUGGAGUAUUUAGUUGGGUUUUAUUGUUGUGUUAAUUUGUGUGACUGCGCUAACUGAUUGUGUUUCGACAAACUUUAUCAGAUUAAUGAAUUUAGCAACACAGCCUCUUAAUUAAUACCUCAAAAUUUAUAUUCGAUUGUGAUUCUAUCCAAACUCGUAUUAGAUGUGUAUUUAUAAUACUUAUUGAAAUGUCUCACAUUGGAUUGGAGAUAGUGGCAUGAGCCACUUUAUAUGGUGAGGCAACCCUCUCCCUUACAAGGCCUUUUACGAGAGGAAUGGGUCCAAUAUUCAUUUCAACAUGGUAUCAGAGUCAACUCAAUCCAAUGAUGGGCCCCCCUAAUAUCGUUGUCAACAUAUGGCGUUUGGGAUAGUCCACGCGGCGCGUGCGGGGGUGUAUUGAAGUGUCCCACAUUNNNNNNNNNNNNNNNNNNNNNNNNNNNNNNNNNNNNNNNNNNNNNNNNNNNNNNNNNNNNNNNNNNNNNNNNNNNNNNNNNNNNNNNNNNNNNNNNNNNNNNNNNNNNNNNNNNNNNNNNNNNNNNNNNNNNNNNNNNNNNNNNNNNNNNNNNNNNNNNNNNNNNNNNNNNNNNNNNNNNNNNNNNNNNNNNNNNNNNNNNNNNNNNNNNNNNNNNNNNNNNNNNNNNNNNNNNNNNNNNNNNNNNNNNNNNNNNNNNNNNNNNNNNNNNNNNNNNNNNNNNNNNNNNNNNNNNNNNNNNNNNNNNNNNNNNNNNNNNNNNNNNNNNNNNNNNNNNNNNNNNNNNNNNNNNNNNNNNNNNNNNNNNNNNNNNNNNNNNNNNNNNNNNNNNNNNNNNNNNNNNNNNNNNNNNNNNNNNNNNNNNNNNNNNNNNNNNNNNNNNNNNNNNNNNNNNNNNNNNNNNNNNNNNNNNNNNNNNNNNNNNNNNNNNNNNNNNNNNNNNNNNNNNNNNNNNNNNNNNNNNGAACCGAAUUAACCGAAAUUUUUAUAAUUAAAACCGAACCAAACCGAAAACCGAAUUAAUCCGAAGAAAACCGAAAUUUUCGACAAACGAAAUUUUCGAAAAAACCGAAAAUUCCAAAAAAACUAUAAAAUUAAAAAAAUAUUAGAAGUUAGAUAUUAUAAAACUAUAAUUAAAAUAUUAUAUAUAUAUAUAUAUAUUUAUAUAUAUAUUAUAAAUAUAAUUCGGUUUUUCGGUUUUGUUCGGUUUUAAAAAUCCGAACCGAACCGAAAAUCAAAAUUUUAUGAAAAAAACCGAACCGAACUGAAAACCGAAAAAACCGAACCAUAUUUUAAAAUUCCGAUUUGGAUCGGUUCGGUUAUUCGGUUUCGGAUUUUUUGCUCACCCCUACUUAAAAGGCCUUAUAAGGGAUAGAGUUGCCUCAACAUAUAAAGUGGCUCAUGCCACUAUCUCCAAUCCAAUGUGGGACACUUCAAUAUGUUAGAAAUGGAUAUUGGGCCCAUUCCUCCCGUAAAGGGCCUUAUAAGGUAGAGGGUUGCCUCAACAUAUAAAGUGACUCAUGCCUCUAUCUCCAAUCCAAUGUGGGACACUUCAAUACACCCCCCGCACGCGCAGCGUGAACUAUCCCAAACGCCAUCUGUUGACAACGAUAUUGGGGGGGGGGGCAUCAUUGGAUUGAGUUGGCUCUGAUACCAUGUUAGAAAUGGAUAUUGGGUUCAUUCCUCCCUUAAAAGGCCUUGUAAGGGAGAGGGUUGCCUCACCAUAUAAAGUGGCUCAUGCCACUAUCUCCAAUCCAAUGUGGGACACUUCAAUAAUACUAAUAAUAAUAAUAAUAAGUAGUACUCCUUUAGUUUCAAUUAUAACUGGCCGGUAUAUAUCAUUUUCCUUCCCUAUAAACGGGGUACAAAUAGCGUCCUCGACAUGCAAAACUUCUUCACAUUUCACAUUUCAAUUUUUAAAAUUUCUCACAGACAACUCAAAGUUGCGACGCACAAGUAACCUCUUCCCACUCUCCGCCUCCUUCGCCCAUACAAUGUCUGGAUCUAAUACCGGAGCCAGCGGCUCCAGAGGGAGACGCAUUGAUAAUGGAAACAACUGGAAUCCGCGGAAUGUGCAAGGGAGGCAGGCAUAUUUCUUGAUAAAUAGGGUUUUCUGUUUUAUUCUUUUUGAAUUAUCUGCAGAUUUCGACUACUAUUGCAUUAAUCUUUGAAAUUUUCUCUUGAUAAUGAUAUUCAGAUUUCCACUGUUUUAGGUUUAAGGUUUUGUUGUUGAUAAUACGGGUGCAUGAUAUGAUCUGAAGAUAUUUUUGGUGAUUAGUAGUAUUACUAUUUAUUUUGAUCUCACUGCGUGAUUAAUAAAUUUUUUCCUGUGGAAAAUUUCUCUGAUACGCGAUAUCGAGAUUGAAAGACCUACCUAUCCAAAUACGCAAUAUCGCAGGAUCCUCAACCCCGGAUCGAGAUCAUCCCAGCUCGGGUGCGGCGGCGGAAGGGCUAAAUCUUCUCAAAUGUGUGUUGGAAGGUAACUAGAUAAGUUUUUUUUGGUAUGUACUCCCUCCGUCCCAGGCUAAUAGGCUCAUUUCUUUUCGGCACAGAGAUUAAGAAACUCACUUUUUGUUAGUUAAAUGGUGUGUGGCCCACCAAAAUUUUCCCUUUUGAGAGUACUCUCUUAUGAAAAGACUAAAUAGUACUCCUUAUUGUUACUUAAUAAAGCCCUAAAUAUUUUCAUAUUAAAACUGAGCCUAUUGGAGUGGGACAACCUAAAAUGGAAAACGAGCCUAUUGGAUUGGGACGGAGGGAGUAUGUGAUUUCUUGAUAAUUCACCUUUUUGUAUAUGUGACUUUAGUGUUGUUGACGGAAUGAGAUUCAGUGUACCACAUUUUAUAUCCCACUUUGUGUUCUAUUUUUAAUUUUGUUUAUUUUCUUAUAUGUUUUUUAUUCAAUUUCAACUUUGUAUGCUUUAGUUUAAUUUUGUGAUUAUUAACUAGGGUUUAUUCUAUCAAUUUAGGGUAUAUAAUUAUUUUUUAUCAUUUAAUUUCAUUUUUAUUAGCUAAUAAUAUGUUGAUAAAUUUAAAAUCAUGGUAUAUACUUUUUAAAAAUUUUAAUUUUUUGAAAUAAAAAUUAAAUAUAAUUCAUAGUAAUAAAUUUUAUUUUUAUAAAAAAUAUUUUUAAAAUAAUAGAUAUAAGAAUGGGGCACGAUGACACACAUAAAAUUGUGGGACACUGGAUCUCAUCCCUUUGUCCCAAAAUAUAGUGUGUACCACGUGUACCAUUCUUCAUUUCUUCUUUUUAUAAAUUGUUUUCUAUAAAAAUUAAAACUAUUAUUAUAUUAUAAACUCUAAUUAGUAUUUAUCAUUGAAAAAUUAAAAUUUAAAAAAUUAUAUACCCUAACUUUGAAUUAAUGGACCCAAAUAAUCUAUUAUUAAUUCAAAUAAAUAUAAAAAAUAAUUAUAAACCCUAAAUGGAUGAGUGAAUCCUUGUUAAUUAUCUUUAUGUUAUAUAUAUAAAAGCAUAAUAAAUUAAAAUUGAAUAAAAAAUAAUUAAAAAUUAUAAUAUAAUAAGAGUGGUACACAGUGAUACACACUAUAUGUUGGGACACAAGACCCCAUUCGAGAGAAGAGGCACGCUCCGAUGCAAUUGCAUUUAUUUGGUUUUGCAGUGUGAUUAAUAAAUCAAUUUUUUUUUGAAGAAAAAUAUGAUGUUAUUAAGAACAUACUCAUGGUAAAUGAAGAAUACCCUUCACAUGAUUAAUAAAUCAUAAUUGGAUAGAAAUAAAUCUGAAUUAGAAUUGAAAGACAUAAUUAGAAUUUUAAUUGAAAAUUAAUAAUCCUUAAAUUAGGGAUUACUGAAUCCUAAAUAUAAUUCUGAUUAAUUCUUAAUAUACUCUUAUUAAUUAAUUGGCUAUACAGUUAGGUAAAAGAAAAAGGGAUUGUACUGUGCAUAGUAUACAAUUCAAUUAGCUAUUUAAUUAGGUAAUUUAGGUUGCUAUACAGAUGGACUGAACGUGCGUACGGUAACAUUUCCUGAUUUGAUUAUGGUACAAACUUAGAUAAAGAUAUACCAAACAAAAGUUGUAAUUGAAUGAAACUAGCAUUUCCACUCGUGCAACGCACGGAAAAUAUUUUUAUAUUUUAUUAUAUAUAAAAUUGAUUAUCAUUUGAUUAUUAUAUAAAAGAUCUAAAUAUAAUUAAAAAUACUAUAAUUUAAGAUAAAAAUAUAUAUUUUAAUGUAAAAAUAAUAAAGAAUAAUUCAUAUUAAUAAAAAAAUGAUAUUGUGAAAAAAGAAAACAAUACUAUAAGUUAAAAGAUAAUUGAAAAAAAUAGAUUUAUUGAAAAAAAGAGGAGAGAGGAGAGAGAAUUUUCUUAAGUUUUAAUUUUUAAAUAAAUAUAAUUUUUAUAUUUUAAAUCCAAUAUUUACAUGACAUAUAUCAAAUUAAAGCUCUUGUCAUGAUAUUUAAUUUGAUAUGCAUAUCGAAUAUUUUAUAAUUAGUCGAAUUUCACAAUUAAAAAAAAAUAGAAAAAUAAGAAGUUAAAGAAAAGGAAAAAAAAAGAUUAUAAAUAAACCUUCAAUUUUAUUCUAACUACAAAAUUGUCACUCAAUUUUAAAACUAAUUUGAAAUCAAUUCGAAAUUGAAAAUUCCCUUUUUAAUAUAGUAUAGAUAUUUAUUUGAAUUGGUAAUUAUUUUAUUUUUUUAAGCUAAAAAGGGGGAAUAUCAUUACGAAAUAUCAUCCAAUAUUUAUUUGAAUUGGUAAUAGUGUGGAAUAAAAAUAUAAAACAGUCACCAACAUUAUGUGUUGUGAAGUAAUCAUAACAGAUCCAUUUUCCUACUCACCUAACUCACAAAUAUUGAUAUACCACCAAUGCUCCUUUUUUUCAUUCAGUAAGGCUCUGGUUCAAAAUAAAGGUAGUUUAAGCCCUAUUAAACACAUUCAAUUUUCCCUAAACCAAUUAAACAACAUUUUAAAUAUGACGAUUAUGGAUGGUGCAUGACAUGAGUCAUGAGUGAUUGCGUUUAGUUGGAUCUAUUUAAAAAACAAUAUCGCAAUUAUAUUAUGGGUAAUUUUAAACACAACCCCCAAUUUUUUCACUAUAGCCCCUUACUUAAAAAAAAUAAUAAAAAUAAUUAUAAUUACACUAUUUUAUUCCUAUAGCCCCCAUUUAAAAUUUAUAAUAAAUUAUAAGUUUAUAAAAAUUUAAAUUUGAAGAUAAAUCAUAUAACUCCCAUCCUAAUCUAAUAUUAAAAAUAAUGAUAAACAAACGUGAUUCUUGCAUAAGAAAUUUAGUUGAAUUCUCGGUUCAUUCCCUGGCGAAACCUUCCAGUAGUUGUUGUGUGUUCUUGCAACCAUGUCUUCCACGCUUCAACUAAAGCAGUUUUCUUGGGGUCCUCUUCGACUGCUAAUCUAUACAGCGGCAAUCCACUGAGUUUGAUAUGGAAAAUGAUAUAUAUAAAAAUUACCCAUAGUGAAACAAAACCUAGACAGAUCAAUAAAAUGGUGCAUAUGAGCCUAUUUAAAAUCACAAUCUAGUUCAAAUAUUUUAAGCCCACAGUUUGCAAGUGCUCAUUGAUAUAUCUCAAACAAUAGAGUUGCUAUGAACUACAUAUCAGAAAAUUUGUCAGUAAGCAAUCUUUGUGUGGAACGAUAUAAUUAAGCAAUAGUUAUUCUUACCAUCAACAAAUUUACUAAUAGGUUCCCAGUAAAAAAUAAAACAUAUUUCAGUCUUUUAACUGUAUGUAUGUUCAUAGUUAUGAAUUUGGGGGUUAUGUAAGAUUGACGCUUCUUUGCAAGAAUCAUAUUCUUUUUUGAAUUGGGGCUAUACUGGAGUUAUUAGAGUUAUUUAUCAUAUUUAAUAUUAGAUCAAGAUGGAAAUUAUAUAAUUUAUUUGGGAAAAAGAAUAUACGUAUUAUUUUUUUAAAUUAUUUUUUAUAAAAUUAGUAAUUUAUAACAAAUUUUAAAUGGGGGCUAUAGGGAUAAAAUAGUAUAAUUAUAAUAAUUACUAGGAAUCUCGCACCCGGUGGUGUGGGUGAAGUGGAGUGACCUGUGCACUUCAAAAUCAGAGGGGGGGCUUGAUUUCAAAAACUUAGAAUGGUUUAAUCAUGCUCUUGUGGUGAAAUGGUUUUGGAGAUUUCUUAAGGGGGGAGGAAGGUUGUGGGCUAGAGUGGUUAAAUCGCUUUACGGGGACCUUGAGUGGGGUCAGAAUUCGGUGAAAUGUUCCGGUAGAGGCAGGGUUAGGGACGGAUGGUGGUCUAGAGUCAUCUCUGUGGCAGGAGGUUCGGGGGAGUCUUGGUUCCUUGAUAAUAUUAGCAUUAAAGUCGGGGAUGGGAAGUCCACAAAAUUCUGGGAUCACAAGUGGGUGGGGUUGUUGCCUCUCAAGCUGGUGUUUCCUAGGUUGUACCUCCUUAGUGCUAAUAAAGAAGCACUCAUUAGUGAGUCGGGUUUUUGGGAGAACGGGGGCUGGAAGUGGGAUCUGAGUUGGAGACGAGAGCUCUUCGAAAGGGAUAAGAGGGGAGUUUAUGACCUGUUGUCUUUCAUUUCUGGUACUAAUCUUGUUGCAGGUGUGCCUGAUGAAUGGUCCUGGUCCGCCGCUAAAGAUGGUUUAUAUUCCACUAAGUCGGCAUACGAAGCCAUCAAAGAGACAAGACAAGAAAGGCGAACAUCGGAAGCGAUCAAUGAGAUCCUCUCCAAGGUGUGGAAAAGCCCAGUCCCGCUUAAAGCAAGAGUCAUGGCCUGGAGGACGCUAAGAGAUAGACUACCUACGUGCGCCAAUCUUAGAAGAAGAAACAUUGUACUGAAUGAAGUUGAUACCGGCUGUAAUGCGUGCUUUCAUAGCGAGGAGACGAUUAACCAUCUGCUUUUUCACUGUCCAAAGCUUGAAAAAGUUUGGGAUGAUAUCUUUAGAUGGCUUGGCAUCUGUUUCGUGAGACCACAAAGCGUGGUUUCACACUUCCUUCUCUUUACCAACUUUGGAAACCGGAAAGAAAGUCGGAUAUUCCUUUUGGCGCUGUGGUGUUGUGUUGCUUGGGUCGUUUGGAGAUGUAGAAAUGCGAGCAGAUUCGAAGAAAAAGGAUGGGAAAUUUCAAAGUGGUCUCGGAGAUUAAGGUGAGAAUGUGGGGUUGGGGUAAGAUCUUCGGGUUUCUUAAUUCUGAUUUGAGCUUAGAUGCCUGGAUUGCGGGUGUUCCAACUCCUAUGACGUUGUAAUUUUCUUUUGGUACUGCUGGUACCUUCGUUCUUCUUUUUAAUAAAUUCAUUUUCUUAUCAAAAAAUAAUAAUAAUAAUAAUUAUUAUUUUUAAGUAAAGGGCUAUAGUGAAAAAAAAUUGAGGACUGUGUUUAAAAUUAUCCUUAUAUUAUCUAAUACUCCUCCGCCCGUUUCAUUAUUAAUGGCCUGUAUUCAUCUUUGGCCCAUCCCAUAUUACAUGGAGAGCAAUCUUUUAAUUUUUAGUUCAAGUUUUGUUUUUUCUCUUCAGAAAUUUAUAAAAAAAAUUCAAUAUAAACAUCUUUGUAGGCACCCGAGUGUUUGAAGAAGUAUAUUUUUAUUAAUUUUAUAUCUUUGUUUAUUUUGAAAUCUUAUGAAAUUCAAUAUUAAAUAAGAUACAUUAUUAAUAAAGUUAUUGUCAUAUCUUAGAAAUAAGGCAUAGGGUCUCUGCAUCAACAUUACAGAGUCUAAAACUCAAAUUAAAAUCCAAAGCCAAUUCAAGCCAACGUUGGAACCAGAAACAAGGCGAAUGUCCUCCGCAUCAACGUCAUAAAGCUUAAAUGUCAAGUUCAAUUUGAAGAAAAUAAUUAGAUUAUCAAAUAGAAAUAACAACUCGUACAAAUAUUGAUGUCCGUAAGAAAUUUUGAAAUUAUUAAAUGAAAUACAUAAAUUUACAAUCUUAUUUAGAAUUAAAAUUUUCCUUAAAAUUUUCAGUUCAAAUUGAAUAUUUUAUUUUCUAUAUUCUAAUGGUGUUUGGCUAAGCUUAUUUUAAAGAGCUUAUAAGCUAUUGGAGCUUAUAAGAUAUUUCAAGAGCUUACAAGAUAUAGUUUCUUAAAAUCUUAUAAAUUGUCAAAGUAUUUGGAUAAUUGAACUUAUAAGCUAGAAAGAGAAUUUUUAGUUAGAGAGAGAAAAUCGAAAAAAGAUGAAAUUAAAAUGAUAUAUAAUGAAAAUAAAAAAUUAUAGUUGAGUUAUUUUUAUAAAAUGAGUGUUGCUUAUAAGAAAAUGAGCAAAUAAGUUGUGGCAGAUGAACUUAUUUUUUGGGAGCUUAUAAGCUCUUAGAACUUAAUUUUACAUGAUAUAAGCAUUUUAAUAGCUUAUUUUGUCAAACACUUUGAAAAAAUUUAUAGGCUCCUAAACAACUUAUAAGCUCAACCAAACACCCUUAAAUCUCAAUUCUCAACAUGAUUUAACAUUCCAAGUAAAAUUGCUUCUCAAUUUUUUUCCUCAACAGACUUGUAAAUACUUCUUCGAAAUCUAUUUCCAAAACCAAUUUUCUCAAUUGUGGAACUCUCAACACUCAUAUAGAAAUGAUGGUCCCUUUGCUUUUUUAUCUUUCUCCAAAUAUGAGUUCCCACGUUUAUAUCUAUAACGCGUGUUUAUAUAUUUAUUGGCAUUAAAAUUCAAUAAAAAUAUGAAUUUUAGAGAAACUGAAAAUAGGCUCCACUUAAUAAUUCAAAAUUCAGGUGAAUUCCGACAAAGCAUAGCCGAUUGAAUAAAAUCUGCAAUGUGCAUCAAUAUUUUGUUUCAUGGGGUCAGAAAAAAAGAAAUGUAGAAACAGAAAAAAGUUUAAAAUACUAGAUAAAAAUUGAUUAGAGAAAAAAGUUAGUACUAUAUGAAAGGGGGAUUGAGGUGACUAAUGAGCAGCAGCAUAAACGAAAAGCGGUUGUGGGACUCUCUCACAUAAUCAUUCCAUCCACAUAUUUGAAAAAAGUAGUAAAAGAAAGAACAAAAUUAGCAAAUAUAAUCACAAAAAUUCAAAAAGCAGAAAGAGUGCUGAUAUAUGUAAUGGGAGGAAGGUAAAGGAAACAGAGGUGUCGCUUUUGCAAAUUUCUCAAGUUUUAUCAGGUUGGUCGUGUCGUCUUCGCUUUAACGAUGCUUAUACUUGUAAGAUUGUAUAUGUAUAUUAUUCCCAACAUCAUAAAGGCAAAAGAAAAGAAAAUGCUCAGCUUGUAGUAGAAUAUUAUACAUGAUUUUCCCAUGUUCACACCAUGAAUGUUUUUGAGUUUAAUAUGGUGUGAAGGUUAAAGAUUUGAGCUUUUUAUGCAGAUUGGAUCUGAUGGGCUUGCCCCUGAUCUUCUGUAGAGUGAAUCUUGAGAUGGGUUUUUGGGGGUUUACUUUGUUUGGUUGAUUUUGGUGCUUGAAUUCUUGGAUACCAAGGUUCUCUCUCUCUCUCCCACACACACACACACAACCAGAUGGGGGCUUCUUGAUUCUUGAAAUUCUUCUGCUUUCUUGAAUUUAUGCGGCAUUAUUUGUAUCCACAUUCUUGAUUGUGAUUUUGAGAUUUGGUGAGGGUUUUGGUGGUUGUGAAUCUGCUGGUUUGAUUUCUUGAAUCUUUCUUACCUCAAUUUGAUUUCUUGAACUUUAAGAAAUUAUGAUUGUUAACCUAUUUUUGGGGGGUUUGGUGCUGUGGCUGAAUAACAGUUGAAUUGAAGUUUGAAAUUGGUCAGAAUUUAAGUUUAAUUUCUAGAACAUCAUCAAAUCUUAUUGUUUGAGCUUCGUUGGAGGCAAGAUUUGUUUUAGGAACAUUGUGACUUAGAUUUUUGCAAUUUCAUGUAGAGAUAUGCUAGUUGUAUAUACUGAUGAUGAGUUCUUGAUGUAGCUUUUCUCUGUUGUGGUAGAUGCUUCAGCCGUGUUGUUUUGUUCGUGUAGGGUUGACGCACAACCUUGAAAGCGUGCGGUACAUUGGUUGCUAGCUAGAGGGCUCUCGUUGUUGUUCAUCUUUGUGAAAAUAAAGAAUAUGAAAUGGCCUCUCCGAGAUUAAUGGGAGAAGAAAUUAUUAACCAAGAGAUUGAGCCUAGGAGUGUUUCAAAACGCCUUGUACGAAGUAUGAGCCAGAAGUUGAAAAGGAAGAGCCAAAAGAAUGAAAGUUCUGAAGAUGAUGAGACGAGUGGCGUCUCUUUGAGAUGUCUUACCCUCUACGGCAGGGGAGGUGGGUGCAGAGUGAGUGCUGAUAUGGACGAGGAGUCCGGGGAUCCGGGCAGUAGGAGGAGAUCGAGUGCGAGUGAGGAUGGGAAAGGCACGACGUGGGGGAAGGAUGAUGCCUCAGUUGAUUGCUUCUCCAUUGGAAUGGACAGAUUCUUCAGAAGGAACAACAACAGAAGGCUGUUGAAAUGUAGCGUAGUCGAGCAAAGCAAUAGCAUGAACACACGCCUUCCUGAUGACGUUCUCGAAAUGUGCUUGGUGAGGCUCCCGUUGGCUAGUCUUGUGAAUGCUCGUCUCGUGUGCAAGAAAUGGAGGAACUUGACUGCAACGCCCCGGUUCAUGCAGAUCAGGCGGGAGGGCUCGUUUCUGAGCUCGUGGUUGUUUGUCUUUGGCCUCGUGAAGAAUGGCUAUUGCUCCGGUGAGAUACACGCGUUGGAUGUCUCUCAGAAUCAAUGGCAUAAGAUAGAUUCCCAGAUUCUCAAGGGGAGGUUCUUCUUCUCGGUGGCUAGCAUCCACGAUGAUGUCUACGUAGUCGGGGGUUGCUCUAGCUUGACUAACUUGGGGAGGGUGGACCGGAGCUCGUUCAAGACGCAUAAGGGAGUCUUGGUGUUCAGCCCGUUGACAAAGUCGUGGCGUAAAGCCACAGCCAUGAAGCAUGCGAGAUCGUCUCCCGUUUUAGGAAUCUCGGAGGUGAGCCAAGAUUACUUCCUCUCUAGAAAUCAACAGAGUCGGGCAGAGAAGCGUCUUCACCGCUCGAGAGCAGGUGGUGCGACGGAUGUCUAUGAGGAUCCUCAUAGACUCUCGGUCAGACGGCAAUCUAGGCACUCUCUCGAUGAGAACGAGGUCUCGUUGUCCGAUACCAUCAAGCUGACCAGGCAAAAACACGAGGGCUCGGGCUCGUCCAGCAGAGGCGGUGGUAGGAAGUUUGUGAUGAUUGCGGUCGGAGGCCUCGGAUCUUGGGACGAAGCCCUUGACUCCGGCGAGAUCUACGACCCCGUAUCGAACAAAUGGACGGAUAUCCAGCGGAUGCCUCUGGAUUUCGGCGUGGCCUGCUCCGGCGUGGUGUGCGAUGCUGUGUUCUACGUCUACUCCGAGAGCGACAAGCUCGUUGGAUACGACGUGGACAGGGGGUACUGGAUCCGGAUCCAGACGGUCUCGAGCCUGCCCCGCGUGCAUGAGUACCUCCCGAAGCUCGUCUCCUGCAAGGGCCGCCUGCUCAUGCUCUCCGUGUCGUGGUGUGAGGGAGAUGGCCAGAUCGGCCGGAGGAAUAAAGCGGUGAGGAAGCUUUGGGAGCUCGACCUCGCGCAUCUCAAGUGGGAGCAAGUGUCGACGCACCCCGAUGCGCCCAUGGACUGGAACGCUGCGUUCGUGGCUGACGAAGAAGACGACGUCGUUUUUGGUGUCGAGAUGUUCAAGAUUUUCGGACAGGUAAUAGACUUCGUGACUGUUUUUGAUGCUGCAUCAACAUCGGGUUGGAAUCACAUUUCUAGAAAUCAUAAUGUUGCACACGAUUUGGAUGCAUCUUCUUGCAUGACCAAGUCUAUGACACUGCUGCGCUUGUAAAUGAAUGAUUUAGACAGACUUCCAUUGUUUGAUCUCAAUCUGAUAUCUCUCUUUUUUCGCUUUGGUUGAUCAAUCAAAGCAUGUUGUUGACAUUAAUUUUUCUUCAAUAUGUUUUUGUAUGAUAUGCUCCAUUGACCUCUGCAAAUACAUACAACUCUAUUUCAUCACUGCAGUUAUGUAUAUGAGUUCGUAUUGCACCAAUACAUUACAAACAAACCAAUCAAUAUCUUCACAUCUGUUUGAACAAAAAAAUGUGUGUGUGUGUGUGAGUAAAUACAAGGGGGUUUAGUAGUAUCCUAUCCAAUGUUGGGAAAGAUGCUAGAGAAGUUAGGGAUCUUGUCAACAUGUUUCAAGGCGCGCUCAGCAAUCUGCCUUGUUCUGUAUUCUCCAUGCUGGAAGGCAUCAACCAAAGCUGUGCUUAUAUUAGGAUCACCUGCAACUUCAUAGGCUAUCUCCUCACAUCUCAGCAACCUCUCCACUGUCCAAACGCCCGGCUCCUCAGCGUCUCUGUUCGUUUCCCGAGCAGCAGGUCGAGUAUGGGCUUCACCCCUUCCGCGUCCAGCAACACCUGAACCCCCUGCUCUAUGUCAACACCGUCGUCCAGCAAGGUAGCCAGCGCCGCAAGCGACGCCUCCACCACCUUGUCGUUGGUGUGGUCCAAGAGAGCAACCAGCUUGUCCACAGCUUGCCCUUCCAAGAGGCAGAACGUCUCUUUUAACGAGCAUAUCCCGCGAUGAAUAGGGCACAGCCCGGUUAUAACCGGCUGCUUGCUCAGGCAAGGGAAGAACGAGGCGCACAGCCCCGGUGCAGGGAACUCGAGCAGCUGUGUCAAGUUCUUGGAUUCUUGGGAUAGAUUCUCCAAGGCCAUGGCUGACACCAUCUGCAGGUUAUCGAGCCCGUUGGACUGCAGGAGGUUUAUGAAGAGCGACGCUAGGUUGGUCUCAUGACAGAGUGCACGAGCAGCAGCGCCCGACUCCUCAGACAAGGCGAAUGUGAUUCUUGCUACGACCUUCACGAGCCCUUCCAAAUAUGGGGUCAUGAAACGGUUCCUCCUCGUCUCACCUUGCCUGAUCCUAACUAUCCUCAAAAUGAAGAGCCGGAACACCCCUUCGUCUAGCAUCUGUCUAGUGAGGCCGGAGUCCCUCUCAGGUAGAUCAGCUAGGAAGCCAACAGCGGCUGCUUGCUCCUCAGUUAUCACCGAAUUCUCCAAUAUCUCUCGGAUCAGGCUCCCGAGCUGGCCUGCUGGCCCGCGCAAGCAGCCAGCCAGCUCCGGGCCCAUGUGUGGGGAGAGAUUCUGAAGAAGCCUUAUCGAAGCCGCCCUCAGAUCUGUCUGAGGAGCUUCGAUGAACUGAACCAAACUGAUAGUCGCACCGGAGCUCUUGAUGGCGGACACAACACUGGACACGGUUGCUGCAGAACUCGUGAGCCCGACCAGAACUUGGAGAAGCUUGGACUCGAUUGCAGGGCCGGUGUUGCUGAUAAGAUGCAGAAGGUUGUGGAUGAUCUCCUCCGACACCAGAGUCAGGUAGUUGGGCCCGAUGGGGACUGAAUCGAAGUCGUGGCCUGAGUUAACGACAUUGGCAAGGAUCGUUGCUGAAACUUCCUUGAGUCGCAUUGGCAGCUGGUUUGCCCCAACAGUGAACAGAUCCUUCACGAGAGGGGGCAGGAUGCCCGCCUCUAUCAAGAUCUUGGCACUCGUCUCAUCGGAUGAUAUCUGGUUUAUAGACUUGAGAGCGGCCUCUCUUGCUGGCAUGUCGUUGUGCAUCAUGAGACUGAUAAGCGAGAAAGCAGCUGUCCUCGCCACGAACACCUUCACCUCGUUGUCUAGAACGAGCUCACCGAGGAUGGCUGCCAUGGCCAGUUUAGUCUCAGGAGUGCCUGCAAAGAAAUGAAGAAUCCUCAAACACUAUGCUAUGCUAUCUUCAUAUUUUUCAAGAAUCCAACCAAAAUUUCCAUUACCUUCAAGCAGUAGUGUGAGAAGAGGCUGCAAUCUUCCACAUUCCGCCAUCUGUCUAACGUUGUUCUCGCAUCGUGCCAGAUUCUCCAGCGUUCUAUCAGUCAUCUCGACAGUCAGGAGGCUCUCCGAGUUGCUGUUGGCCAUCCCAACUAAGAUCAGAACCGCCCCAUUAACAGAACCGAUCUUUUCACAGAGCCUCUCCGAGUUGGAGAGCUCGUGGAGAAGAGAGACAGCUUCUUCCCUCUCUUUAGAUUGCUCGUGAGACAAGAACUUGACUAUCGUGCGCACAGUGUCCCCUUCCGCCAUGAUUUCCUGCAAGAAUAGGAAACUGGAGUCGAGUCAGUGACAGCCGGAGGCGAACUGAGCUAGGGUUCAGCCACCUGUAACAACCUUGUUAUCAGAAUCUUCCUCCACCACAAUCCUGAGAGUUUCAAGAGCCGUGCAACGCACUUGUCGACUGGAGCUCUUCAGCACAUCAACAACCAUGGGUAUCAAGUCGGCAUCAUGGACCACGCGCUUGUUUGAAGGGCUGUGCAGGCAGAGGCGCUGCACGAAUCUCAGGGCCUGCAGAAUGUCACUCUCGGAGCUGCUCAGGGAUAGGGACCGUCGUGCCAUGUCGAGCUUGGAGGCUUCGUUCCUCGCGUUCCACUCUUUGAUUGUGUGUCUUAGAGCAAUACUAGGGCUUAGUUCAGUGCUUCUCAGCUCUCUCAAUGUCAGAGGGCAGACUGGCCUUCUUCCACUCUCCCUGCACUCUCUCAGCCAUUUCUCUAUGGCUUCUCUCUCGUAUGUCUGCCCGUCUUCCAAGCUCACAGGAUCGCGCAUCACUUGCUUCGUCAGAGGGCAUAGGAACGCGUCGUAGAUUGGCUCCACACGCGACUGAGCACCAAGGUCGGAGCUCCCAUCCCAGCUUCCGGCCAUCAGAUUGAAGCAAAAGACUAUGCAAAAUAGCAACAUUCAUUAGCUUCUUUGCAUCUGCAUAGUGAAGAAUCCUUUAGCUAUGUGAGAGGAAGACAAACUUGGAAGACAAUGAAGGAUUCCUAGAAAAGUUAAGGACUAGUAAUCGUUUUAGAAAUUGAAUGUAUUAACUAUUACUCAAUUAGGGUUCAUGAAAUGCCCCUUUUGCAGCUUUGUCAAGUUUACCCAGAUUAUGCUAUCAAAUUCCCCUUUCAGUUGAAGUUAGCUACAUUUCAUAUAUUGGUGCAGAACCUAUCAAAAAUACAAAAUGCUGGUUUUCAUUUGUAGCCCAAUAUUUUUCAAGAACUCAUCUUUGAUCACCAAUCAAAUUCAAAUUCCAAAUUGAUCCCACCUCCCAAAACACAAAAAACUAUCUCAUCAUAGUAAUGAAUCCAUCAAAUUUCCCAAGCCCACAUAGAAAAUAACAAAAAUUAAGUUCAAAUUCGCAUCAGUAAUCGAAAUUAAAAAGAUGAAGAAACAAGAAAGGAAACCAUCAAAGUGUUAUUACCUUGAAAGGACUCUUGUACACAACUGCAGAAAGAAAUUAAAUUUCCAAAGUAAAAAACAAAUCAAAAGGGCCGAGGGCCAAAGAUGCGCCAAACAAGCGAAGAGAAAGGGCAAAAGAGAUGGCAGCAGUUGGUGAAGGGACAAGAAAGAAGAAGACAGCAAAAUGUCGCACGAAUACUAAAAUAUUAAUUUAAUUUUUCUUCAGCAAAAGAAGUUUGAAUGUUGAAGAGUUGACUGAAGAAGCCGUCGUUGCUGAACAGCAACGUAAAAUGGGGUUGUAAUUUGCUAAAGCAAUGAGGAUGCACAUUUCUCAUUCUUUUUCAAUUUUCAUGGCUGCAGUUCCAGUUGAAAACAAAGCUGUUAAUAUAGUUUGUAAUUUACCACCUGCAAACGGCAUUUCUUUUUCUUUCAUAUAGUUUGCAAUCUUCUUUUAUAAAGUAACAAUUAAGUAAUUAAAUUUAAAGAUUGUGUUAAGAUAAAAUCGAAUUCAAAAAAAUUGAUCUUAAACAUUAACCACUUUAUCUUUAGUUCAACACACGCUCACUUCUUUCGUAGUAAUUUUCACUUUGAGUAUGAUUGUUAUCACACACUUUGGUUAAUUAGUAUAUAAAAUUUGAAUCCUUUUCGACUUAAAUUAAAAUUUUGGGUAUAUUUAAUUUUAUGUAGAUGUCAAAAUUUGAUUGUGUGAAUAUUUUUUAUAUGAUCUAGCCAUGGGCCCAUGACGAAGAAAAAAAGAAGAUAAUGUCGAUGUCACAGAGGAUAAAAUGUUAUCGAAAUUUUAAUUUAAGCUGAAUUUUUAAAAGUUUAAAUUUAUAUAUUAAUUUAUUUAAUAAUAAUAAUAAUAAUAAUAAUAAUAAUAAUAAUAAUAAAAUAUAAUAAUAAUAUAUAAUAUAAAAAAUUAAUCCAAAAGUAAUUGUAAAUCUUCUAGAUUAAUUCCUAUGUCUUCUCUAAAAGUUCUUUUUUUUUUGAUAAAUUCUUUAAAAGGUUUUUUUNGAUAAAUUCUACUACUUCUUUCUGUUUUAUUUAUCCUUUUUGUUGAAAAAUUACAAAAUCGUUGUCUGCGUCGAACAAGCGCUAACAGUUUCCAAUCCAAAUUUCUUAUUCUGCAAUAGAUUUGCACAGAGUUUAAUUUCUCAAAAAAAUGCCGAGUUCCGAAAAUAGGACUGAAUCGACUGAUAAGCUCAUGGAAACUGAUCAACACGUAUUGAAUUUUUUAGAUUCCAUGGAUACUUAUCUAGUUCUUAUGGAUUCCUUAUCAUCAACUCUUCGUCAGGUAAAAGAAUCAAUUCGACUCUAUUGAUCCCUUUUUGUAUGUACAUUCUAGCAAAUAGCAAUUAAUAUUCUUUUAUUGCAAAAGAAAAUCGAAUCUUCGGUUCCUAGGGUUACCCACUCGUUUCCUGGAUCCUAUUUUUUGAACACAACUUCUCAUGUUUUGCUCAAAAAUUAGGAUUUCGGAAGCUGCAAUUUCAACUUUGCUUAUCAUUUUCUGGAUAGUUGAUUUUUAAGAAAAACCUCGAUUUCAUUAACUAUGAGUAGAUGCUUUGUUUUUCAGCAGCUUGAGCCUUUUUGCUUGAUGUGUUUGUUUACUUUGAGGAUUUGCUCUGUAAAUCAUAGAACACUACUACUUUUGAUAACCUAAAUUAAUUGUUGUUUUCUGUACUUGCCUUUCGUAUUUGAUAUAUGGUGAAUCAGAAUUUGGUUUGCUUUUAAAAACAAGGGUAACUUGUGAUUUACAAUUCAACUGUUUUGCAGGGAUGGCUGGAGCUAGCCAGUGCUCGACAUUCAAUGGGCGCUGCUCGUGUCAGCAGCGCCUUGUUUAACCUCAAAUCUCAUCAUGCUUCAACAACACUGGAAAUAGACAAUGGUAGUUUGAUGCAAUUAUCAACUUACUGAUAAUACAAUUUGGUGUGCUUGUAUGCCUAAAACUUGGGUGGUUGACAAAAGAAAUGUGCUGCUAUGAUAAAUUUCACUGUUUGAGUAAAGGAUUUUAUGUUUGUCUUUCCAGUUGACGCCAAUGUAGAGCUACCGCACCUCACAUUGUGCAAAUGGGCGUCCUCGGAUGAUUCUGAAAAGAAUUCCGGGGGAGCCAAAUUUAAGGAUGAUGAAUUAUCAACUCCUCCCAAGCCUGAAAGCCCACGAACUCAGGAUGAGGGUACGUCUCACAAGUCCAGUAUGCUUUGCUUUUCUACUUUUGUUCUCUAAUUGAUUGUUGCAUGCGAAGAUGCUUACCAGUAUCUGAAUGUUGGCUAGUUAGCUCUAUCCUGCCAUGUCCAAGCCUUAGAUAACCGGGAACAGUUUUUACGUAUUUCUUGCAGCAGUUUUAUGAUUUCGAUAUUGUUGUCUUCUUCAAUUCUUCCUACCAUGUACUAUCCAGUUAAUAAGUUAGAGUAAAAAUGGUGUGGAGUUUUUAUCCCUGUUAGUGGUUUCUGUUAACACACUACUUAUAUGGAGUUGUUUUUGACUUGUGAAGAACCUCAAGACAGACGGGCAGAAAGUGGUGAAUCUCCGGUUUCUCCUGAUGAUCACGUAAGUUGCAACUGCCUCUAUUGUGUUUCCUCGAAAUGCUUGUCUAUCUGGUCUCGGAUGAAUCAAUCAGUCUAAUGAGUGAUGUUAUGGACUGUAUAGAGUUGAACAGUUUAACCCAUUCUGUAAAAGCUGUCCUCGAUGACCUAUUUGUGGCUAAGAUCUAUAUAUCUAGUAUAUUUUUUUGAAGGAAGCUUAAAAUUGUUUUGGCAGGCUCAACAGGCAAGAUCUAGGUCACUUUCCAUGUUUGGGACACUGGUCUCUCCUAAGCUUCGUGCAACCCAAACAUCAUUCGAGAGAGGUAACAUCAGUUCCUUGAGUUCCCCGACUACUAAUUUCUUUGGAGUCGACUAAUGCCCUUAAUCAUAACUGGCAACACUAAACCAGUACUGAAAAAUCUGAAACAUUCCUCAAUAACUCUCACUUAUUUUGAUUCUCGGGCACCUGUUCUAAUUUUGGCAGCUCUGGAGAUGCUGGUGGAGAUAUCAAAUGUACGAGCUUCUUUGCUGCAUGCUCACGAUCAAGUACAGAAAGACCUGAAGGCUGCCAAAUAGCUAUGGCAAGCUUCUCUUUGUUUACUCUGAUUCUAAGUCCCCCCCUCCAGUAUAGUCCAAGAUUAUCAAUCAUUUAUACAUACGGGAAGAUACGACAUUCACACGAUCCUAAUUUAUGCUUUUCCUCUACCCCACAUACCUUGCUUCUGUAACUCAGCAAGAGACAUAUAACCUAGAAAGAACAUGCUCGUCUGCUUCGGGGUGGUCCAAAAGUUGCUAUGUUGUAACAUAACUUCAUUCUUUUACUCUUUUAUUUUUCAGAGAGUGAUAUCUAUUGAACAGGAGGACUACUAAAAUAUCUCAUCUAUAUGCGUCUCAUUUGUUUGUCCGCGAACAAGGUAAGAGAUUCCUGAUUGCCUGUGUAUCUGUUUGUUUUAACUCAAACUUAUGCAAAAGGAGUGAUGAUUUUUGCCAGUGAGAAGCAAAUCUACUUAUGUUUUUGUCGUGAAUGCCUGAGCGGAUUGUAGCAAGUUUCCAUCUCUAUGGAUCUAGUGGGAUCCCUAAUUGAAUGCGUGUUCUUUUAUCAACGCAUGAGUUAAAGAAUCGAAUACUAUCGCGUUUGAGCUUAGGGCUUGUUUGUUUCAAUUAAACUCAGUUGGAAGUGUUUUUGUUUUGGGUUGUCUUUAUUCUCUUCCUCCAUCUUCAAUAUUUAUUUUUGGUCAAAACUUUUAGUUUUGACUUUUUACAAACAUGAACAACUCAAAAGUUAUGUAAGAGUUCUCAUUUAUUUCAAUAUUUUUAAUUUAAAUUUCGUGAAAAUAACUUUUUGACUUGUAUCUCGUUUCCUGUAAAUCUAACUUUGAUUGUCAUAUAUGGGUAAAUCCCGAUACUUUUUUGUUUUGAGAUUUAAUAAUCUCAAUACCUUUUGUAUAGUGUCGAUCCGAUCUCUUGAUUUUUGGCAUAUUGGAUAUCGCCGAAUUCUUCGUUACCCCAAAAAUGAUAUGACAUUAUAUCUUUCACUCGUGAUGUAUAUAUAUAUUUUUUUCCGUUUAUAAGCUAUUCAUAAAAUAAGUAAUCUCACCAUGUCAAUUUUUGGAUUGUCGGAAAAAUUUGGAGGUGACAAAUUGGCCACUAGUCUAAAAACAAGGUUUUAAUUGAAAUAUUUUAAAACUUGAACUUAUAAUUGUAACUUAACUAAAAAAUUAUGUAUAAGUAACAAUGCUACUAUAAUAAGUAAUCUUUAUAGCGACACACCACAUUGGAAAAUUUUGGUACAACAAUCUAUAAGACUACCAAUAUCGGCGCCCAAGCUCUCCUGAUCGACCGCGCCACCUUGAAUAAAAAUAUUAAAAAAAAAAAAAAAGGAUUCAUGGCAAUAAAAAGAUUUUUCAACUGACCUAGGUCUCUUCCAAAUCAAAUAAGACCAGCUGGUCUCUUCAUUUUUAAUUCAAAAGUAAGCUACGUGUCAUUUUUUGAUUGGCUUUGAUUUAUAUUAUAUAUAUAAUAUAUUUAUCUAUUUAUUUAUUUUUUCUCUCUAUAAAUAGGCAUGACAUUUGCAAUAUUUUUGCACACACAAAAAUCAUCUCCUUUACUUCACGUAUUUUAUCCAUUGUUCGUUACUAAAUUUUUAUCUUUUCAAUUUUUCAAUGGAUCCAAUAAAUUUCUUAUUUUAAUCAUAAUUUUAUAUAUUAUUUUUAACAAAAGUAAUUUUUAAAAUUGAAAAAUUAAAAUAAUUAGUAUAUACUAAUGUUGUGGUUGGGUGGUUGGAUGGUCAUGAAUAAGUCAUUCAAAAUAAAUGUGAUUAGGUUGGGAUGAUUAUUGAUAGGGCUGAUAAAUCGGUUCCGGUUAUCCGGUUAAAACCGAAACCGAACCGAAAAAACCGGUUAUCGGUUAACCGAUAACCGGUUUUUACCGGUUCGGUUCGGUUAUCGGUUAACAUAUUUUCUGUUAAUCGGUUUAACCGGUCGGUUAACCGGUUAAACCGAAUUAACCGAUUUAGUAUUAAAUUAAUUAAUUAAGGUAAAUUUGACUUCACUUUUUACAGCUGUACUCUUUCCAACUUCCAAGUAACAUCUGGAUUGAAUCCGAAAGGCCUCCUCGAUUGUUUCCUUUUCCAAAUUCCAAGAUUGUUUUCCUUUUCCAAAUUCCAAAUCAAUUUAGUCUAGGACUUGCUGAAAUUGGUUCGACACCAUCAUCGCCGGAUCUAGGCCAACCACCAUGAUGGAGGAGCGCGAAGACGGUGGCUCGGUGCUCGCCGGUGUGCAGCGCCCGACCAUCUGCCGCCGGUUGCGUCGCGUCCGAAUCGCGCGGUCGGAUUUGCAGAGGGCCGGCGAUCUCUUCGUUCACCUGCUGCACCUCUGUUACAAUCCCGCAAGGGCAGGCUUGGCCGCGGGCACGGGCGGCGACGGCGAGGUGGCGGCGAGACCGCGCGACAUCCGUCCGGCGAGGCCGCGUAAAGUCCUGGCUUCGAGCGAACACGUCGCUGCUUCCUCCUCUGAAGCGCCUCUCUUCGACUCGAGCUUGGACACCAACGCAGCGACGACGUCCGGCGGGAUCCGUUGGCGAGGCCGCGUGAAGUCGUUCCGGCGGCGGUGGUGGGCUGACGGGAAAGGCAGCGGCUGCUGCUGCUAAAACUUUGGAAAAAACUUGCUAAAUCUAGGGUUUUGUUGAAAUUAACCGGUUAACCGAACUGAAUACCGGUUCGGUUUUCGGUUAUUAUUUUAACUGUUAUUCGGUUCCGGUUAACCGGUAAACCGGUUCGGUUAUAACCGAAUCGGACCGAUUACCAGCCCUAAUUAUUGAUGAUUUCGAAAAGAGAUAAAUUAAUUAAAUAUUGACAAGAUUGGAUGAUUGAGUGGUUGUAAUGGUUGUUGUUAUUUAUGGUCUAAUUAACAACAUCACGAGUAGGGAUGUCAAAAAAGCCCGAAAUCGACGGGUCGACCCGAAUAGACCGAUAAAAAAAGGUGGGUUAGAGGUGAAAAUUUUUAGCCCGAAAAAAAUUUAACCCUAAUGGCCCGAACCGAAAAUAGCCCGAGCCCGAUAGGGUUGGCCCAAAAACCGAGUGGGUUGGCCCGAUUAACCGAACACAUUCUUAAUAAUUGAUUUUUAAACUUUAAUACUUUACUUUUUAAUUCAAUAAUAACAUUUUGAUGCUUGUAGAAUAUGUUUUGAUUGUUUUCAACGGUUAAUAACAAACAUCUAUGAUAUAAAAGUCAAAGAAAGAUAUUCAUUUAUAUUAAAUCUAUAUACAAUUUUUAUCAAAACAAAAUUAAAGUUAGAUAUUAUGUAAACUUAUGUUUAAAAAAAUACUAAUUUUUGUAUCUAAAAUAAAGCGAAUUGUCUUGAUUUAAAAAAUACGACAUAUUUUUAUUAAAAGAAUAUGAUUAUUUAUAUAUUAAAAAAAACAUAUAAAAAAAUCGUAAAACUUCGGGCCCGAACGGGCCAGCUCGAAACCGAGUGGGUUAGGGCUAGGGUCGAAAAAUUUUAGCUCGAAAAAUAAAAAAACCGACUAGCCCGAACCGAAAAUAACCCGAAACUGAAUGGGCUGGCUCGAAACCGAGUGGGCUGACCCGAUUGACAUCUCUAAUCACGAGGUCGUCCAAUUUGAACGAAUUCCUAAAUGCAACUACAAUAAUUAAUUAUUUUUUUAUUUAAGGCAGAUAUUGAUUAACCUAAGAUUUAAUAAGGAUAAUCCAUUUUUUAUAAAACCAUAUGGAUAAUCCUUUAAUUCCCUCCCAUUGCAAUUGGAUUCCUCCAUCCAUAAAUAUCUCGACAUUUAUUAUGGUGAUAAUUACAAAAAUAAUAACAAUGAUAGCAAAUAAAUGAAGCGGUCGGCCCAAAUAAAAGCCCAAAACACUGACGUGGCGAAAAUUUCGAGAUCCCGCCUAAACCCCCAAACCUCCUUCCCAUUAUUUGAGCGAAAGCGAUUUGGAGGGACUUCAAUAUUACCCACUUCACCCCUCCCCUUAUAAUAUCUUCACAAUUCUUCUUUUCUCCUCAAAUCCGACACCCUUGUUUCCCUCUCUGCUUUCUCUUUCUCUCCUCAAAAAAAAGCCAAAGCAAAACCCUAACCCUAGCUCCCUGCUUUCUCUGGUGAGUCUAUGCCUUCGCGAUUUCAAUUUUGCCGUUUCCUAUCUUUUACAUUUUGUUUCUAACUUAGUUUAUUCUUUUGGUUGAAGUGCUCGUCAUGAAAGGAGGAAAAACGAGAGCUGAUUCGAAGAGGUCUGAAAGCAGGUGAGCGUCUUCUUAGUUUUUUUUUUUUUUUUUCAUUUCCUUAAAAUUCCUCUGGUUUCGUAGCGUAGGUUCGGACUCGGCGAGCUUAGGAUAUUGUUUAUUGCGUGUAGUUAGUUUUAGUAUUUUUAAUUUUGGUGAUUUAUAUGUAGUAUGAGAUCUACUUCUAAAAAUCGAUUAUGUUUGUAAUUCUUCAAAUUGUUUGGACUUAGAUUUAGAUGAGUUGCAUAGCGUUUAUUGGUUACUUCUAGAUUUCCUUUAUUCACGGCUUGAAUGGUCGUGCUCUAAGAAUAGACAAACAAGAGUGAUUUUACUCUAGCGGAUCUGAGAGCAAGUCUACUAUCAGUGUUUGUAACGCUAUUGUCUUGUUCAUAAAAAAAAUCAGACUACAUACUUUCAAACAUACUGUGAAUGAGCUAGCCUUUGAUUUGUUAGCUUCAUCAUCUGUUUUUCCUUUUAGUUUUGUAUUUUUGUUGUUUGUUAAUUGUUAAUUGUCAUCUGUUUUUCCUCUUAGUUUUACUAUGUAGAUCUUAAUUUUGUGUUAGACAUUAAAACAACAAACCAAUUCUGUUUACCUUUGUGUGUUGUAAUUUAUCCAUAUGCUAGUCAUGGCCUGUGUGCUUGUGUGUUAUCCACGUUAGGUGUUUUUAAUGAUUAGUCAUUGUUAAGUUUCGUCACUUUGAAUAAUGUUGAUUGGUCAUCUUUUUUUAUUUGGGAUUUUGGCCUAGUUUGUAUAAUGUCCUGGUUUUGUUUGUCAGAGCAAUGAUAAUGUUAUGGUAAUGAUGUUAGGCUUGGUGUGAAGAUGUCAAAGAAGGAGAAGAAAGCUGCAAAGGACCCGAACAAGCCAAAAAGGCCUCCAAGUGCUUUCUUUGUUUUCAUGUAUUUACCUUGUCCACUGUUUGAUAUUUUCUAUCAUUUAUUUGUUUUUGAAUUUAUUUGGUGAUAAUAAGAGAUUCUGCUAUAUGAUCCUAUAUAUGAUUACAGGGAAGACUUUAGGAAGCAAUAUAAAGAAAAGCAUCCUAACAACAAAUCAGUUGCUGCUGUUAGUAACUCUGCCUUGCACUAUUUUGCUUCUGUUCUUUUUUAGAUCAUGGAGUAUCUUAUGCAAUUAAUGCAAUGUGUUUAGGUUGGUAAAGCUGGUGGUGAUAGGUGGAAGUCAUUGAGUGAGGAGGUAAAUAUGUUUUAGAUGCUUGAUGUCUGAUUGUCAAUAUUUUUUUUAUUCCCCAUCCUAUGGCUGUUUGAACUUAUCCUGGUAUCGGGAUAAUACAUGAUGUAGGAAAAGGCCCCAUAUGUGGCAGAAGCAGAGAAGCGCAAAGAAGGAUAUGAACGAAACAUGGAAGCCUACAACAGAAAAUUGGUAAUUGAUUAUUGUAGUUUAUUCUAUUUGUUAUUUGCCUAUGCUAGUUGCUAGAAUGCUUAUGUCAACUUUGUGUAAAUGUCUGUUCCAUUGGCCAACUACAGUAUUAUACUAAGUGUCUUUUGAAUGUUUUAAUAGGCUGGAGGUGCUGAUGAUGAUUCUGACAAGUCAAAGUCAGAAGUAAAUGACGAAGAUGAGGAAGGCAGUGGCGAGGUUUGUUGUCUAUAUAUGAACAGUGUUCAGUUCUCUUAUCAAUCAUUGAGAAUUUUACAUUUUUCAAUCAUGCUGACUAGAAUAUUUUUGUUCAAUUUGGUGUAGGAGGAAGAUGAUGAUUGAAGUGGGAUGACAAAUACUUUGUGACAAGACUAACAUUGAGAUUGUUAGUGUGCGUGGGAUGUUUUUCUUGAUAUGCUUAGGCGGCCAUACUCCACCAUUUGAUCUAAUGACAUGAAUUAGUAGUUUAUAUAACAUGGCAUUAACUUUGUUACUUUGGCUAACUAUUGAGACUAUGUGUAUGCUUAUUAUGGUAGAUCUAAAUGAGAAGCUUAGUUUUCCUAGUAGUUGCUCUGUUGCCCUUUUUUUUAUGUUCUGUUCCAUUUCUAUCUACUAUUGUUGAUGAUUGCUUCAUGGUGGAUUUCAUCCCAGUUAAGAUUUGUAUGAUUAGAGUGUUUAUAGGAUUUCUCUUGAUAUGAUUAGACCAUUCGUUUUUUUAUCAAUUAAGAGUUUAUGAUAUGCAUUUUGUGAAAUGCGAUCCAUAGAAUUCACUUGGAGUCUUUUGUCAAAAUUCUUUAGCUCUCAUUCCUUUAUUGGGUUGGAGUUGGCUUAAUCAGGGAGUGUCGUUGAAGUGGCUAAAUUCUUUAAAUUGCCAAAUUAUUGUGCCAAAAUUUUCAGUUGUGAUACCAUGGGCCAUGGCGAUGGAGUAUAGAGGGAUUUGGGUCUUGAGUUAAGAUGAGAAACUAUGCAUAUCUCGCCUUGCAAGUCCCAAUUGGCAAUAAUGGGCCAUUCUAGCAUUUGUUGGGUUUUUGAAGAUUUUACCCUCAUAUUUUAAUCGGUUUUUGGUGUGAUUCCAAUAAAUUUUAGUGCUAGUAAUUAUUAAUUGGCCUAGUAAAUUAUGGCACUACUUCUUACUUUAUUGAUAGAAGGACAGCUAUGCACUUAGGUGGCUUGGAGUCAGUGCUGUACUUUUGGCUAUGGAAUUCAUGCUAAAGUGAUUGAUUACAUAAGAGCUGUUUAUGUACUUGAACUAAUUAAGACUUUAAUCUAAUUUAUGGUAAUAUAUAAAUGCGAUGCAAUUUACAAAUUAUAUACUUCUACCAAAGUCAUGUGACGUCUCUGUUGAACAUUUUAUGCAAGAAUUCUCACCAUGCACACUUUGGUUAUAUAAAUGUGUACGUGACCUAUUCCUCUAGAAAAGAAAAAGAGAGAAAAUAAAAUAAAAUAAAAAGUGUACGUUUGUACACUUUUUGAACAAUGUAUUUAUGAGCAAGUACAAUGUAUUGCUGUUACAAAUAAAAAUGAAGUGUGCGGAGCGCUCAUUAAUUUACCACUUGAGUUUUGCUCGAAGACAUUAGGAAAGAUAUGCUAUAAUCAUAAAAAUAAAAGUAAGAAUACAAAUUGUUUAAUUUUGUGGUAAUUAUGGAAUUCUCACAGUUUCUGGAUAUAGUAAUUCAUUGUGUGCUGUUUCCAUUUUUCUCCUUCCAAAUAUAUCUCAUAAAAGCUGGCUUCUCCGCUGGCUCUCACAGUCAAUGCAGCCGUGCUUCUAGUCCCAUAUUUCCCCUACAAAAUUCACCAGUUUAAUGAUGAUGAUGAUGAUACUGAACAAUCUAGAAUCACAUAAUUACCAAUGGAGUGUCUACUUCAACAAAAAUGGAGCUCAAAUUGUGCUCCCAAUCGCGUGGGCAUAUGUUUGGAAGCUUGUUUUCAUCAGCUUUCUCGGUGUCCCUCAUCAGUUUCUCCACCAUCUCCUUCACCGGGAUCUCGCCCUCUCCAUAUCCAUCAACUUGCACCUUGAAGCUCGUCUCCAACCGCUCCGCCUAAGCUUCCAAAAAAGGCCAGUAUGGUCUCACGGAUCUUGAUGCAUGCUAGUUAAAACAUAACACAUUUUUUCCUAGAGAAAAAAAAGAGCAUAUCUUGAGACGUACCUUAGGCCAGGGGGAGUCGAGCAUGGCGUUGGAGAGGACGUGGAUGCCCGGAGGAACCGCUUGAAUGGAGAAAGGGGCCUCUUUAUGCCUAUUGGAGAUAUACACCAUGCAUUUGGAGACUAGAUCGGCCACAAUGAGGUUGAACCCAUUGUAUUGGUCAGCCUCCUUCGCCAGCUCCUCCGCAAACGCCUUUGGACUCUUCUUGCUCUGGCCCCGCCACAACCAAAUCAUAAAAAUAAAUAUUAUGACCAUCUAUCUUCUAGUUUUGGGCUCCACCAAAUAUUACAAAUAUAUCAUUAAAAAAUUAAACUUGUGUACCUUCAAGAAACGGAUAACGAGGUCUCCUCUAGUUCUAGCCUCGGGGAGGGUGUGGAGCUCCAAGACGUUGGUGAGGAAGGCGAGCCGGCCUUGUUUGGAGGAGGCGAGCCAUGUGCCUCCGGCCACCUCGUCCUUGCCUCCGAUGAUCUCUCCACCGUCCCACCACCCGACCGGCGUCGUAGCCCUACAAAUGAAAUGACCAAAGCAGUCAAGAAUGGUUGUUGGGAAUGAAUGGGAAGUGUGCAUGGAAACUUGCCUAUUGUGGUAUUCAUCCCUGUUGAGGAGGAGAAGGAAAGGGUAGAGAGGGUGUUUUUGCCACAUAAACACCGCAAUGCACAUUUUGCUCUUAAUAAUUCAAGAAUCUAAUUUGAAUAUGAAACAGAUAAGAUUGAGAAGUUGGUCUCUUUUAUAUAUCUCUUCUUCUUAUGCUAGCCACCUAUCUAUUAUACUUGAUUAUACCUCCCUCAUAGCUUUGAAUUUAAUAUAAUGACUAUAUGUAUAUAUUAUGAGUUGUCAAGAUGGGAUAAAGAUUGUUUUGAUUAUGAAUAUGGCCAGUUCAUAAUUUGAACGGAAAUGAAAUUUAUUAAAUUCCGAAAUAACAAUGUGCCGCAAUCGGUAUGAUCAUUCCAUAUAAACUGCAUGCAUGUUACAUAAAACAAUAAAAGAAGGGACGUGAUAUAUAAACUAAACCUUUAAAUGGGUCGAGUAUUUAUGUGGAAAUAAGUACCUAAUGAUUGAAUAUUGGGAAUUCCCAAGGCACAAGUCCAAACUCCACUAACAAUUUUAUAGGUUUAAUUUGUGCAUGUUAUAUAUAUCUGAUUUAUCCAUGUCACAUUUGUCCUUUGCAUAAUUUACUACAAAUUAUUGCAUAGAUAGAUUUUUUUAAAAAAUAUAUCUCACUAUUUAAAUAAUGUCACGUAUGUUAACUUAUAAUUUUUGAUAUCAUUAAACUGAAAUACCACAUCAAUUAAAAGUGUCACAAAAGUAUGUUAAUCUAUAUCAUAAGAUUGAAAUAUCACAUCGAAAGGCAUUGUAGAAAUACACGUUACAAAAAUUACGUAGAAUUUUCUCGUGCCACAUGAACACUAAACAAUGUCGUUCCGAUGUUAAUUAGAGAAAAAUAAAUUUUUACUGAGAUUUAGAAAAUUAAAGCGCCCAUCUGCUUAAACAAUAUUUACACAAAAUAUCACCGAAUUGAUAUUAUUUCCCGCUAAUAUACGAAAGGCAUUAAAAUGUACAUGAAUAAGUUAUUUAACUGGUGCGGUGUGUGAAAUAUUUUUGUUGAUUUUUUUCAUAAAAAUCCAAUCUUCUUAUUUUUUUUAUUAUUUUUUUAAAUCCUAAUUUUGACGUAAAAGUGAAUGCUAUAAUAAAUGCUUUUGUUAUUUGCACCGUCUCAACAGAUAGAGAGUGCACACAAUUUAAGUUUUGGUCUAUACUCUUUGGCAGCUGUAACACUUAUUGUCAUCAAUUUGGAGAAAUUAAAAGAUGGAGUAGUAUGGUAGAUUGGGUAAGCUAGAUUUAAUAAUUGAAUUAGAUCUCGAUAACCUAAGUUUUGCAGCUACUGUGAUGAAAUAGUAAUUAGGACUGCAGUAGCUUUUGUAAUUAAUCGAAACAGUCUUUUAAUUAGUGAAAUUUUUUGGAUGGUGACGUAUGAGGUUUGGAGAAAUUAAGACUUUUUUUGUUCAUUCUGUAGAUGAGAUGGAUGCCGAGCUACUUUAAUCUUCAUUUUCAAAUCAAAUAAUAAACCUUGGUUUGAUAUCUAUUUUUAUAUUAAUAAUUUGACGCUACGUUUGACUUCAUUUUCAUUUUACAGUUUUUAGUUUGACACUACGUUUGACUUCAUUUUCAUUUUAUAGUUUCUUUAGGGAUUAUGAGUAUUCCCUCCUUCUCAUUAUAAGUGUCUUAUUUCUUUUGGACACAAUUAUUUAGAAAUAAUUAAGUUAAUUAGAUUAUUAAAUGGUAUGGUGUAGAGUUGAAAAGAUGAUGUAAAUUCUAAAGAUUUUUAUUUUUUUAGACUUUUAAUUUUUUUUAUAAAGGGGAAUAAAACAUUUAAAGUAGACAAUUUAAAAAAAAAAAAAAACUUUAAGUGAAACAGAGUGAGUAUUUUUUUUUCUUUCACGAUGGCAAAAAUACAAACAUAACAAAUUGUUGUUUUUGGGUUUGUCUAUAAUUAGACUUGCAAAUGAAAAAGUAACUUAAAUAUUUAUGAUGUUCAGAGUAAAUAAUAGUUGGGUUAAACUAAAAAAAUAUCUUUACCAUAAGAAUGUGGAAUUAAUCUACUUCCUUAAUCAAUAAAUAACUAAUGGUCACGAUCCCCCAAGUCAAAAAACUAAUGGUCACGAUUUAAUCAAUAAUAUAUUUGAUCUCUUUAAACUAUUGAUAUUUUUCUCUUUUUGAUUUUCCCAUAUGCAAUACGCUAGUAGUAAAAGUUUUUCUUGAAAUUCAAUCAUAUAACACAACUUUUACUAUCUCUAGUUAUUUUCCUUUUUGAUCAUUUACCUCAAGUCAUUUAGGACCUUUAAAAGCACAAAUCCUACUAUUUUAUAUACAAUAGCAUUAUUGGGAUAAUCUCAAUUUUAUUUCUUAUGUUAUGUGUUUAUUGUUUAGCAUACUAUUUGAGAUAUAAAGGAGAACAGCAAGUAUUUACACAACUGGGGUUUUGAAUUAAAAAUAUGUCUGGAUAAAAAAUAAAAAAAUGUCCGGUUCAAAUUAUAUAUAUAUAUAUAUAUAUAUAGUAUAUAUAUAUAUAUANNNNNNNNNNNNNNNNNNNNNNNNNNNNNNNNNNNNNNNNNNNNNNNNNNNNNNNNNNNNNNNNNNNNNNNNNNNNNNNNNNNNNNNNNNNNGAACAUACAUAAUUUCUCACAUUUAGACAAAAUUAAUAGAACCCAUUGACAAAUUUUGGGCCCAAGUCCUUUCUUUUUGGGCCCUCUGAAUAUGGAAACUACAAAAUAGUUGAAGGCUAUAGCGACAAGCCAUAUAGAGGAAUUAAUACCAUAUUGAAUUGUGAAUAGUCUUGUGCGUGGGAUCGAUUUACAGAUUAAAAACCGUGAGAUGAAUAAGGAUUUAAAUUCAAAUAUAACCGAUGUUAUUGGAUAUAAGUUUUUAGUUUGAUUCUCAACCCUUAUUAUGGAUUUUGAUCAGUUUUUUAAAUUUUGACUCUGACACUCUCACACAAAGUUUUGUAUUAAAUAACACUUGUUUGAUGAAAGUAUAAUAUCAUAUUAAAGUGAAAACUCAUAGUAACAAAAUAUAAAUGGUUGAAAAAUCAAGAUUUGUAUGUUCUAUAUUUGAGGAUAAAUAUCAGAUUAUGUCCAUCAUUUCAGCGUGUAUUUAAAAAUGUUUCUAUUUAAAGAUAAUUAUAAAUUAAUAUUAUUCGUUUCAUAAAAACCAUGAUUGUGUUUAGCGAAAAGUUUUUGUUGCUUGAGAGAUGAUAGGUCAUAUCGAAACAUCUGCGUAAUAACGCGGACUUAGUCUCUAUAUUUUUUUCUUUUUUUCCUUUUUCUUCAAAACACACACACACACACAUGCCCAUGCUCUCAAUGCAUUAUUGAUUUCACCAUUGAAGAGCUCGGAGAAGGAAGUCCGAAGUUGUACCUGUGAGAAAUAUUCAAAGAUGCAGCGUGAGUUAGCUCAACGUUAGUAAAAUAUUCACCUUAUUGUUACAAAUAUUAUCUACAUAUAUUAAGUAUGUGAGUGGAAUAAGAGUCUGACUUUUAUUGUGAAUGAGUUUUGUACGUACAUUUACCAAAAUAAAUAUGAAUAUUCAUUUUGGCUGAUGGAGAGUAAUAAUAUUAUUUAUUUAUUAUUAUUUAUAUAAAGUUCACUCGAUAAAAUACUUUAUUUGUUCACUGUUAUUUGGGAAUGUAGAAAAUAAAUGACGAUAAUGGAAAAGAUGCAGAACCGAGGUGAAAAUAAAUCUCUCUUCGUAAGGCAAAAUUACUUCCGCUCUGUGCUUGCGGAUCUACAGUAAUUGCCCCCAAGAUACAACGGUUUAUGGAUGAUAGAUGAGUCCCUAGCACUAGAAGAUCGUUAUCCGGUCGAAAGGCUUGAUACUCGGGAUUGAGUAUGUAUACUAAACUAAUAUGACAAGAUUGAUUAUCUGAAUUGAGUGAUCAAAUUUCAUUUUAGGGGGUCCUAUUUAUAGUAGGUGGAGGGGUGUUGUGAAAGGGUGUCUGCAGGGAGGUGGCUGACCAAACCAGUGCAAUGAUUCGAACCAUCAUACUGUUUCGGCCAAAGGGUGUGAUCCAACCGCUGGCACCUCACCCGGCCUUAUCCAACCGCUGCCACGUCAGCAUCGCCCUUCAACCCGGAUUCCUUAUCCGCCACACAGGUGCCACGUGUCGGUAUAAUCCGCCACGUCACCCGAGCCACCGUUUCAUUUAUCAAAACUAAAGGCUCCUCACGACAACGUGAAGUGCUCUACAAAGCGCCCAUUGCGACAAGUGCGACGUGCACAGUCUCGGACUCGGAAUUUGAGUUUUAGCCUUAAAAGGCUAAGUCAAAACCCACUUGGGUGCACCAUAAGGUCCACCAUAGAGGAGCACACUUGAUUGUUCCUUUAUGGUAGAGAGCACUUUAUAAAUAGCUUACAACUUCCUAGUUUUUUCAAUGUGGGAUAGCACACCACAUUUCCUUUUACAAAUCACUAUCUUUGGGCAUUAAUUACUCAUUCAAUUCUUAAUUGAUUUGAACAAGUGAAUAUACCAAAUAAAUCUACUCAAUAUGUAGAUUCCAAAAAUAUCAUUUAAUUCUAUUAAUUACCAAAGUAAUUAUGGCAUUAAAUAAGCUAUUUAUUCCAACAUUUACCAAAUAAGUAUCCAUAUUUUGUUUUUUAUCCAUCCAACAAAUGAGUACCAAUUUCCUUUUUUGGUAAGUGUACCCUUGAUAAAACUCACUUUUAUAUGGGUUUUAAGGUUUUUUAAGAUGUCAAUUUUGUAGAAAAUUGAGUGUUUGAUGAUUGUUUUGUGCAUAACUUGCUUUAUAUAUAUAUAUAUAUAUUGCGAAAUGUGAUACUUGGUCGUACUUUGAUGAAAUUUACAGAAAUAUUGAAGUUGAAUUUAGAAAAAUGGUCUGAAUGAAAAAUUUAGAUCAUUUUAGUACAAGUUCUUGAGCAUAAACGGGAUGCAGAUCGAAAUUCACACAAGGGAUAUAUGACUGAAACAAGAAAGUUGCGAGCAGUAGUGGAAGCUCGGCGACGUGCUCAUCGAUUGCUGUCGAGGCUCCGUGUUUUGUUUUUCCACUCGUUGAAGUGCUCGAAGGUACCAAAUGGGGCAUACACACAACGACAUCCUCGGAGCUGAGCAUAACGACAAGACCUCAAGGUCAGAAAGCGGCAAAGCGAGACGAAGGGAAAGGGCACGAAUGUGGAAUCCUCGACGGGCAGAGAAAAAGUGAAAUACUACGACACAAUGGACCACAUCGCAAAAUGCAUCAAGUUUUUCAGCAACACUCAAUGAGAAGCUCUCAACUUAAAAUAGGAAGCUCUGGAUUUAGAAAUUCUCGACACGAACACCUUGAAAAUGAAUGCACGACAAUCAGCAGUGCACAAUUCACAGCUCGAGAAAGUCAUGAAGCUUCGAGGAUUGAUGUAAUUUUUUAAUUAUUACAAUUUCAUUUUAGUUAUUGUAUUUUAUUUUAAUUAAUAUAAUGUGGCAAUUUUACUUUAAAUUUUAAUAAAAUAUUGAAUUUUAAAAUUGAAGAGAUAAAAUGAAAUGAAAUGGACAUGAAAAAAAAUUAAAGUUCAUUGUUGUGGAGUGGAGGCUUUUAAGUGAGGAUCCUUAGAGCUUCUCGAGAUGUUUUUAUAAUAAAAGUUGAUAUAGCAACUAUCAACAUCUAAACUAAUAUUAACUGAACAUCAUGAUUUUAUAACCUGGAUCGAACGAAUUACAGGCGAAUCGAUGAACUCUUUAAGUACUUCCGAACAAAAUAGCAGAGAAAAGGUUUUUGUAUUCAAUAUAGCGUAUCCUUUACAAACGAGGUGAGCUAACUAUUUAUAAGAGAAAUACAAGAAGGAUAAAAUAGUGAAUCUAAUAUGAUUCACAUACUCUUCAUACGACAACUAAUUUUCCUAUCACUAUCGUUAAACAUCCCACUUGCAGCUUUUGUCAGGUGCGUUCUCCGAAAUUAGACAAGCACUGACUUUUGGAAGCCAUGUACGCUGACUUGUAGGAACCGUGUGCUUGAAUUACGCCAGAUCUUUUUCCUCAUACUGCACCAGAUCUUCUUUAAUCUAUGCUGGAACUUCCCUUUCGAUAUUGGAUUGGGCUCGAACUUUCUUAACAUGACCCUGUAUUCUGGUUAUGUCCAACAUUGUAUUAAUUAGGGGUAUUGGCCUGUAAAUACUCGAACUUUUACCAUUUUCUGGUUUUGUACCCCAACUUUAAAAUCAGCCUAGAAAUACUCAAACUUUGUAUUCUUUUUUAUUUUGCACCCAAUGAAUUUUAACCCUCAAAUCGUUGCUAACAUGGUAGCCAGAUUGACAUCCCAAAUCUACAAUUACAUGUUCUAAAUCCCACAUUGACAACAAACUUAUCUAUUUCGUUAUGAAUCAAACUUCCCUCUCAAUUAAUCUGGUUGUCAUCUCAUCAACGAUUUGAGGGUAAAAAUUCGUCGGGUGCAAAAUCAGAAAGAAUACAAAGUUCGGGUACUUAUAGGCUGAUUUUAAAGUUGGGGUGCAAAUCUAGAAAAUGAUAAAAAUUCGAGUAUUUAUAGGCCAAUACCCCAAUUAAUUAUUAUUCUUUAACAAUAACCAGAUUAAUUGACAUAAAAUAAUAAUAAAUGAUAAAUAAUUCAAAAUAAACAUUUAAUUAAAUAUUCAGCGCUGAUGUAGAUAUUACUCCUCAUCAAAAGCGAGUUUUUAUUUCAUUCACAUAUUUAAUUAAUUUCUUAAUAUUUGUGUCACUUUAAAUAAAUACUCGUACGGUGGACGGAGAGAGUGUGAUUUAUUAUACAACAAGUAGAUUUCCUUCAAGAUUGUGAUAAAUAUCUUUUUUCAUAUGCAAUAUAUGUCACUGUACAUGUUAGGUGAGUUUUGCAUUGGGAAUGACUUAGUGAAAGUUCAUUAACUUUGUGACGUAUAAGAAAAAAGGAUAUUAAUAUGUAUGUGUUGGUUGAGUAGCAGGGUGACUAAAUAUUUGAGCUAAGUUUCAUGUUUAAAUAGAUCUGUAUAAUUAAUUUUUCAAUUACAAAAAAGAAAAAGGAUAGUACAUGUGGAACUCUAUUUUGUUUGAAUUGAAACUAUUUUUUUACAUGGAACAGAUUUAGAAAAUUUGCAACGGAAUCAACGAUAACUUAAAACGAAAAGUGACAACCAAUUUUACAUAAAUACAAUUCGUUAUACAAAUUAAUAAACAUAACUAGUAUUAUUAUGUAUUUGUUGUUAUACAAAUUAAUAAACAUAAAUAGUAGUAGUAUUUCGAUACAAAGUAAUCUUCAAUAUCCAAUUUGUAAAUAGAAAUUCCAAAUACUCCAUUACAUAUAGGAAUGUCACGAAAAGGGCAACAAAAGAGGGAAAAAAAAAGAAAAAAAGGAAGCAGAAAGAAACGAAUAGAACGACGUCGUUUGGGAGUAGUUAAAUUUUACUCAUUGAUAUCAAAAAGCAGCGGAGGAAAAGAAAAAAAAAAGGAAAAGGCUCUCUCGCUCUCUCUGUCUCUCUCCUCUCUCACUCCAAAACCCAAAGACAAUGGGUAAGGUACCAACUGCGGCAGCAGCAACAACGGAGAUGAAGAGAAAGAAGAAGAAAGGCCGUCCUUUGAAGAACCCCCCUCCCCUCUCAACCCCACCCAAAGCCCCUCUUUCCAAUUCCGCAAGCCGACGAUCCACCCGCCGGAACCCUAAUCACCUUAAUUCUCCGCCGCGGCCGGACUUCGAUGACGACGAAGACGAGCGCAAGGAGAAGAAGGUCAAACUCGUCGUUCGCCUGCCCCAAUCGGAUGAGAAGACUAAGGCUGAUGAGAAGAAUCAACAGCAGCUCCAGCAAAGCGGGCGGCAUUCCCACGAUUCCGAUUCGGGUUCUGAGUCCGGGUCGGACUAUGAUUCGGACCCUGAGGAUGAGGAUCGGGAGGGCCCAGCGAAGAAGCGCAAGAUAAUUGGCGAUGAUGGCGGAUCUGACGAUGGGGGUUUGGAUCAGGUUUGGAUUUGCUGCUGAAUUUGUUAGAUUUUUCGGAAAUUGCACGGGAUUUGGCGUUGUUCGUCUGGAGGCUUUACUGACAUAUUUGAUUUGCUUUUGCUUGCAUAAAUUUUCAAUUUUUUUUGUGAAUAAUGCGAAGCUAAAGUUUCUAUUUUGGGAAUAUUUUGGCUCCGGAAUAUCAGGGGGUUUUUAAAAUGUGGGUUUUGAUUUGAUGGGGCUUUUGGGAUUUCCCGCUCAAAAAAUUAAUUGUUUUACUUUUCCUUUUCUGUGCCGUGGCUUCUGAAGAUCUGAAGUGGAUGUUGUGUUUUGACUCAGUCAAGUUUAUGUCGCAACAGUACAGAUUAAUGAUUCAGUUUCCUUGUAAAUUUGUGAUUUUUACAUGAUUUCUUUACGUUACUGUAGUUUCUUUAUAAUUUACUGUGAAUAAAACUUACAUAUAUGAAUCAUGUACUACUUCCUAUGUAUUAUUAGAUGCUAGUUUAUGCUCUAUUUGAUCUACUUUUAGUCUAUUUAUGAAGACCAUUCCUUAUCCAAGUAAAGAAUUUUAUCAAUUUUUUUAUUUGACAACGUGGGAGCAUGCAACCCCUAUUUUCUCAUUUGUUUAUAUAGCAGUGUGUUUUGAUACAAGUUCAGUUUUGGCUUUAAUUGGCUGUGGCAUAAUUUUCCCUCUCGCACUGCUGAUGCUAUUUUUUCAUUAACCGAUUCAUUGUCGAACUGCUUCAGUGCGACUCCUGCUAUUUUUUGAGUGAAUAGUUGUGGGGUUUUGAAUAAUGAGGGUUGCAAUUGCAUUGAUGUUUGCAGGAUAAAGAGAUUGUGAUGAAAGCGACAGACACUCCUCUACAAGGUUUUACUCAUAAUUUUAGGAGUUAGGAUAAAACUUUAAUGAUAAAUAAAAUUUCUUUUAGUUGAGAAAAUUAUGUAGGGGAUCCUUGUUCCUGAUUUGACUUGGAUUCUCAUUUAAUUUUUGUGGACAGGGUCACCAUUGGAGUCUGGUCCCACAGCUGCUUUACCUGAAAAAAAGUUGUUGGUAUUCAUUCUUGACAGGCUUCAAAAGUAUGUACUUGCUUCUGUUCUUUUAGUUUCGGUUGAUGCUUAUUUUUUUUUGUUAUCUCGGUUCUCGGACUGUUUUAUUUUGGGUUUUCCACUACUAGUUGUCAGCAAUAGUUUCUUGGAUGUAUCUUGAUGCAGGAAGGACACAUAUGGAGUGUUUUCUGAGCCUGUGGAUCCCGAUGAGGUGAUGACACCAUCGCAGAUUGUUUAUUAUACUAGAUUAUUCUCUUCUUCUUCUGCUGAUUUAGAGAAUUUUUCUUGCAGCUGCCUGAUUAUUUUGACAUAAUAAAGCAUCCAAUGGAUUUUGGGACAGUGAGGAAGAAACUUGAGAGUGGAGCUUACAAAAACUUGGAUGAGUUGGAGGUUGGUUUGAUGAUGAGAAACAGAAGUUUUUAACUCAUAAAGCUUUACUUUUGUUUUCGUUUCAUUUCUUUUUUGGUGGUUGAAAAGUUUGGAGAGUGUAGUAGGUUGAAGAUCACUUAGGUUUACAGAAUGGCUAUCUUAAUGAACUCAAUUUUCAUUGAUCUAUCAUUUUCAUUAUUUUAUUUUUCUUUACCAAGAUCCUGAAGUCCAUGGUUUUUGAGAUAGCUUUUUUAUGAAAAAAAGCAAAUUGGAAGCUGAAAGCUUUGUGCUUAGGCUAGAUUUACUGCUACUUGAAUGUUCUGUGACUUCUAUAACCUUGACUACUAACAUGCUAGAACAGUUAUUUCUGGGAACAUAAUGAUCAUUAGAUGCUUCCAGAACCAAUAUAAUUGAUUCUAUGAGAGCCAAGAAUUAACCAGGAUACGCACAUUACGCCAUUGACUUCAUCUGUGAGCUUUUUUCUUAUUCAAUAGGUAUUCUUGUUGUAGUAUUUUGAUGGUAUAGAGAUUGCGCCUUAGUAAUGGUGACUUUGCAUGCCAUCUUGGAUUGAUUUUUAUAUAAUAUACUAUUGCUCACAUUUUUCUGUUUUCCACUUGAUCUUUUUUGCACUACUAGAGCUUGGUUCAAGAGUAUAUUCUUGUCAAUUCAGCUUUGGUUUCUUCUAUUAUGUAAUGGAGGCAAAAACGAUGGAAAUGCAACUGAAUUUUACUCGAUUUUUUAUUAUUAUUUCAGGCUGAUGUAGAUUUGAUAUGUUCAAAUGCCAUGCAAUAUAAUGCUGCAGAUACAGUCUACUAUCGGCAGGUUUGCCUUGUUACUGGUUUACGUUUUGUUUCCUUGUUUAGUCAUCCUUUUAUCUGAAUAAUGGGAAACAUUAGGCACGAACCAUACAAGAGCUUGCAAAGAGAGACUUCAAAAAUCUGAAGCAUGAAGGUGCUGAUGGUGCACCCCAACCGAAGAUAGUGCGGAGAGGCAGGCCGCCAAGCAGUAAGAACCAGAAGAAACCUCUUGAGACGUCCCCAGUAGAUCGUGUUGGCACUGACCUUUCUUCAGGUGCAACUCUUGCUAAUGGAGAAGAUAAGGCAACUGGAUCUAAUUCUUACAAUCUAAGAAAGGCGUCACCAUUAUUUAGGUACAGGUCCUCUGACCCAUUUAUGUCACCUUACUCUUCAAGAAAUGGUGAAAACUACUCCGAGUAUUCGACGGAUUGGAAUAAUGAAUUUCCAGGUAUUGGUCCGGAUGCUUUGUCAAAGUCCCACCAGUAGUAAAUUUUCAUGCAAUGAGUUAACCCCUUCUUUUCCAACUUGCAGCAUCAAUUUUAAGGGCUGAUAUGAAAUAUGGAAAAAAACAGUUUACAGUGGAUGAGAACAAGCGUGACACCUACCGACAAUUUGAUUCGAUGUCUUUAGGCGACAAUUCGCCCAUUUUGUAUCAUUCAAAUGGAAACAUGAAGCGACUUGUGCCGGUAUUUUUUCUUCUUUCAGGAAUUCUGAAAUUUGUUCUGUUGUAUGUGUGCUUCAUUUCAAGUACCUGACUUGCCUUCUGUUCGUUCCCCUCUUGUAGGUGGGUCUUCAAGAAGCGCUUGCUUAUGCUAGAAGCCUGGCAAGGUAUGCUGCAAAUCUCGGCCCUGCAGCUUGGAAAAUGGCAUCGAAGAAGAUAGAGGCCGUCUUACCUGCAGGGGUACAAUAUGGUCCUGGCUGGGUGGGUGAUAACGGAGCACCUCCUCAGCCAUUGCCUACCUCAAUCGAGAAGCAGAAAUCGUUUGUUGGGGAUUUUAGUUCAAGCAAACUUGUUACACCCCGAACUUCUUCUGUCGGGGCCACUGGGCCCUGUGAAGCUAUGGUUGAAGCUGUUAAAAAACUCAACAACCAGAACGAGGUAGCCGGUCAAGGUGAUGCGUCUUCUUGGAGAACACAAUUGCCACCCCAGCAAAAUCACAUGCACAACUCCCACAGAAAUGGCUUUACUGGAAUGUUUGGGUACGGUGGUUCAUCUGCAAGAGCAGCAACGCCACAACAUCCAGUUGCAGAAGGAUUCUCUUCUCCAUCUCCAAAGGUGGAAAUAGCAUCCCCAAAUGACCGUUCAUCAAACCAUUCUUCAGCGAUCGAACAAGCUAAGUUGCCAGAAGGCGGCAGCAGCGCUCUACCCCCUGGAUAUCAAACGGCGCAAGUUAAAUCCGUUGGAGAAGCUGAGACGCGUACUCCUGCGAAAUCUCCAUGGCAGGGGCUGCCGGCGCAGCAGCAAAGAUAUAACCUUGCAGUUCCACCGGACCUGAAUGUAAGAGUCCCGGCCGGCUCACCUGGUCCAAGCCUGCAAAUUGGUUCACCGCAACAGCCGGAUCUGGCAUUACAGCUCUGAAUACUACUGAUUUAUCCAUUUUUAGUAGGCUGCUGCAGUUCUUUCGGCAUUGUCAGUGAGGAAAAUAAACACAGGCUUGCAAUCAAGGGCUGCAGGUCGACGACGACAGAGUUCAUCAGAAAGCUUGUAUAGAUCGAUCGUGUAUCUAAUUCUUUAGGCAGAAUUAAACACUGUUUUAACAUUUGUGACUUCGACAAUGACCGUGACCGGGGGAGACGACCGAGCUACAGAGACGUCGGGAACUAGCUAGCAAGCUUUUAGGUUGUUUGAGUAGAUUGGAUUACAUAGAUAGGUUUCUGCAUUUGGAUAUGAAUCAACAGUGUAACAAUAUUUACAUGAGAUGCUACCCCAUUAUUUACAAAGUAUGAUUGUAAGCUCAUUUAUUGGAUCCAGAUACUUUAUGAAAUUUCUGGGAUUACUUAACGAGGAACUGUGAUCAGAACCUAAUUUCAUACAUUAAUGAAGUCCAAAAAGGAGACAUGAAUAUGAUCCACCAAUGUAAUAAUAACUUAAUAAGUAGAUGGAAAAUGAUAUGCAAUAAAAUGGGCAGGUAGUACCGUUAAAGAUGGAGGUAUUAUAGGGAAUCUCUUUGUAGGAGACGAAUUUCGAGCUAAAUAUAGUAUCAUGAAGAAGAGAAAAAAGGGGUCCUGAAAUUCUGGGGAUAUAUUUGGGUUAUGUUUGAAAGUUUGUUGUGUUACGAUUGAGAUGUGAAAUACCUGAUUUUUUUUCCUUUGCAUGGAUCACUAUUUUUAGUAUAUAAAUUCUCUGGUUGUGUUUUGCUUAUGAGGAGAUGUGUAAAAUGUGGUUCUUUUCAUUACUUAGGAAAAGGGUUGUCCGGAGUUGUGAAAGAAGAGAGAGAAUAUAAUCUUCUCUCUCCAAAACACUACUUGUUCUUCCAAAUUCUUUCUUCUUCACUCAUGUAAGGAAUGAUUCGCUAGAAUUUCACGUUUCGAUGAAAAUGGAAUUCGCUUUGGGAGGCUAAGUUGGUGGCUGCAAAAAUUCUUGGACGAUCAAUCUUCUCGAGAAGGAGAUGAGUUGCUUUCCUUGCGUAAGCUUUAGGCGUGAGGAUGUACUAGACUAUGAUGAAGAUAUAAACCUAAAAUCCAUCGAAAAAUUAGGUAAUUAAGUUUCUUGCUUAAUUUGUUUUCGAUGUUAAUUUGAUCCGCAAUCCCUUGUGUUUUGUUUCUUGAUGUGCAGUUGAUGCAAAGGGAAAUGGGAAGUGUCAAGGUUGAAGAAGGUAAGUAAUGAAAUCAAGCCUAUAUAUAAUCUCUUAUGUGUGUUGUGAUUGUCUUGAAUUCUUGAAGACGAAGAGGGCGAGGGGCGAGGGCGAGGGAGAGAGAAAGGCAUUUCGAAGAAGGGAAACAUGGCCCGGAGCUUCACGUUCAAGGAACUCGCGGCCGCUACCCAGAAUUUCAAGGAUGCCAACAUGAUCGGGGAAGGCGGGUUUGGCAACGUGUACAAGGGCCGGCUCGACUGUGGCACGGUACGUAGGCACGCCCCGUUUUUAAUUUCGUCGGAUCAAUGAUCAAGAUCUCAAUUUUUGUUGUUGAUGAAUUGGUAGGUGGUUGCUGUGAAGCAACUGAAUCUCGAGGGGCUUCAAGGGCACCAAGAAUUUGUGGUGGAGGUGUUGAUGCUGAGUUUGCUGCACCAUCCCAACCUUGUGAAUCUCAUCGGUUACUGCACUCACGCUCAACAAAGGCUCCUGGUUUAUGAGUUCAUGUCCAGAGGCAGCCUCGAGAAUCAUCUCUUUGGUAUGCCAAUGUCACACAUCAUCUUUUAUCUUUGCCUUUGAAAUGUAUCGAUAAAGACCAUGCAUUUUACUAUGUAACCAAUCGUAACAUGGGACAGAGCCUUUAUAUUUUUAGGGGACGUUUAUUUUGCAUGAUUGAUAAAAUGCAUGAUUGAGUAUUUUUAUGGUCAAGGUAGGAUUUCUCUGAUUCCACCCUUUCGAUGGGACUAGCUUAAAUGAUAGAAAUAAUUAAGGGCAUUAAGAUAUCCCAAAGUAAACAAGGGAUUAACCUUACUAUUUUAAUCUAUCAAGGCUAAUUCUCCAAAGUUGUGGUUGUUAGAUCUAGAGGCGGAUCAAGAGCCACUGAGUUGGGCGACGAGGUUGAAGAUUGCGGUUGGGGCGGCUCGUGGGCUCGAAUACCUCCAUUGCCAGGCAAAUCCACCGGUGAUAUACCGCGAUCUGAAAUCGUCGAACAUAUUAUUGGACAGCGACUUCAACGUGAAGCUGUCCGAUUUCGGGCUGGCCAAGCUGGGGCCGGUGGGCGACAACACCCACGUCUCCACGCGAGUCAUGGGAACCUACGGCUACUGCGCCCCGGAAUACGCCAUGAGCGGCAAGCUCACCUUGAAAUCCGACAUCUACAGCUUCGGAGUCGUGCUGCUCGAGCUCAUCACCGGCCGCAAGGCCAUGGACUUCAGCAAGAAACCGGGAGAGCAAAAUCUUGUCGUAUGGGUGAGUUUUCGGAUCAAGGGCAGGGGGGGCUCCAGCACCCCUAAACCAUAUAUUUUCUUGAAAUUUUGUUAUCUGACACAAGUGUUUGUACAGUCGCGGCCAUUUCUAAAGGAUCGGAAAAGGUUCAUAGAGAUGGUGGAUCCUCUACUAGAAGGCCGGUACUCGGCCAAGAGCGUGCAGCACGCCAUCGUUGUGACGGCAAUGUGUCUUCAAGAGCAGGCAAACAAUCGGCCGAGCAUCGCAGACAUAGUGAACGCGCUGGAUUACUUGCAGGAGGAGAGAUCGCCAUCUAACACCAACCUUAAUGUCUCCUUGUCUUAGCUAGAUCCAUCACUAGAUCUUCAUUUUCAUUCUUUCUUUACAACUGCAUAUGUAUAUAUAUACAUCACUUAUAUAUAUAUAUAUAUGUAUGUGUUUAUGUGGAUGAAUCAGUCCCAAAGCGAAUUAGACAUUCAUAUUGAGAUUAGCUUCAUGCCUUUAAUUGAAGCUGUAUCUUUGUGAGCUUUUUACCUUUGUAGCAUCUACCUUAAAAUCAUACCAUCUUUGUUUCCAGCCUCGCUUUUAUCAUUGCCAACACCAUCAUUCGGUACUUAAAAAAUAGACUCGGGUUGCGUGUGUUGGUAAAGCGGUAAGAGAUUAUGUAAAAUAUUUAAAAAAUAAUGUAAAAUAACAAAAUUUAUAAUCCAAAUUAAAGACCAAUCUUAUUAUAUUUCAAUAUACCUUCAAAUUAUCUCAUUUUUUCUUUACAUAUCUAUUAUUUUUUUUCUCUAUUUUUCAAUGGAUCGAUGCAACAAUUUUUUUUCUUAUGUUUCAAUUUGUAUUUAAAAUUGCUAAAAUUAUUAUGAUUAAAAAAAAACAUAGUUAUAUAUAAUGUUAUGGCUAGGUUUUUUAAGCGAUUACAUUGAUAUAUAAAUUAUAAAAAAAUAGAGGUGACUGAAUUGUGAUCAUGAAUAUUAAUGUUGUGAAUGAGAAAGAUGGUUAGAUGGUUUAGAUAAGAUAAUUGGUAGUAAUAAAUAUAGUCUCAGUGCGAGCUUAACCCCCAACUCAGCCGUCUCUAUACAUAAUUAAAAAUAAUAUACAUUUGAAUCAAAACUGUCGAUCCUUACACCUUCUUUAUAUAUAGAUAUGCACAUAGGAUCAAUAUAUUGCUCACAUGUGAGAAAAUUAAAAUGGCAGAGAAUAAAUAUAUAUAUCUAAUCUACAAACAUAUAUAGGAUAAUACAAAAUUUGUCCUAGCUUGCAAGAUGUAAAUUCGAUGAUUUUUCUUGGAAUUUAAAUUAUGUGAAGUAUGAACAGUCCACAUCAAUUAUAUUAGCACAUGUGUUUGCCGGACUUAUAUUAGAUCAUUCACACAUAAAUUAUUUAUAAUUCACUCAAUUUUAUUACUAUUUUUAUUGCCUGAGCGAUAAUUUCUAGGAAAAGUGGAUUCAAUUUGAUUCGUUUGCUUCAAAGGAAAGAAUUCAGUAUUCGAGUGAAUCAAUUGAAUAUAUUGACUUUAGCUACUAAUUAACUGCAAUCGUUUUUUAGCUAGUACAUGUUUUGUUUUAUUUAACAAAACCACGUGUAAAACGUCAUCACAAUAUAUAUAUUUUAAAUAUUGUUUAAAACUAAAUAUUUAUAUAAUUUAGUGCGUGUCACAAUGUAUCGACGAUGUCGUAAAUUACGUAGUAAUGUCCUCAAUUUUCUUUGCUUUGAAGAAGGUUACUAGAUUGGCCAAUGAUGAUAAUAGCUUAUUGAAAAAUGGGGUCUAUUUUUCUUAUUAGUCGUGGAAAAAAUGUAAAUGAUAAUACGCGCAGUGUAAACCUUUUUCUUCUGUAUUAAUUAUUUAUUCCACGUGCCUCUUUUGGCACACAACAUAUAUUCAUGUACCUUAAGUUACUACCAUGUGUACUAACAUAUAGGCCUCAAAUUAAAUAGUUUUGCUAAGAUAACCAAAUUUUGGCUACUCGGAGGGAAAUUUCUGCAGAAACUUCCAUAGGUUAAUAGCUGUCAACUAUGGGAUAUAUAAGCAUAAUUAUUUAUAAUUCGUCAUUUUUAUUUAUAAGGAUUAAUUUUAUUCAUAACUGUUAAUUUUGUGGGCACAAAGCAUACCUAAUGAAAACUAUACACUUUUCACGUAACGUACACAUGUUCGCGUAUAUAAUAAUAAUAAUACACGUGGCAUCAAAGUUAAUGUGACGAUCAUAUUUAAUUAAUGAAAAGAAACAACACUUAAUUAAGGCUCAAUUACUUGCUAAUAAAUAAUUAUUCUAUUUCAAUUGAAAGCACAUUAAGAACUACGUACCUUGAUAUGUUAUUUUAAAAAAAUUGUUUCAUCUUCUACAAAAAUAAAUUAAUUUUUAUUAAUAAAAGUUCAUAGUCAUGUUUGAGCUAGAAGAUUGAUUCAAACUCGGCAUUACAAAUGAACUAAAAGUAGGAAAUGAGAUAAAGAUAACAUAAAUUAAUAUAACUGCAAAAUGUUAAACAAUUAACGUAGAUGUUACGAAUUCAUAAAAUAAAAACACGUUCUUAUAUAAAAAAAUAUUUGUAUUGAUAGAAAUUAACUCUUCUAUUAACUUCGAGUAUUAUAAUACUCCUAUAUUAUGUCUCUCUAGCUUUUUUCAUAAAAUGAAGGGCACUAUAAUUGAACCGAACACAAAUGGAACAAAAAAUAUUGUAUUUGAGAUACAUAGGUAGGAAUUGAAGUGAAUUGUGUGCAAUUGAAGACCUGGUCGAGAAAUAAUAACACACGUCAACAACCAAUAGCGCUUUUAGUUUUCUCAGCCGAGUAAAGGUAACCAGCACCACCUAAAGUCGCUAUCCACAUUCAAGUAUCUGACGCGGUCCAUACGCUAUCUUAAAUGUAAAUAAACUAAUUGUAUACAACUGUACGGACCUACACUGGCGAGAAUCUUUUGCUGACGUAUCCGAUGACGUCACUCCAGGGCCACGAUUACGAAUAUCGAUCACGACUCAUUUUGCCUCCUUUUUUUGCUUUUUCCUUCAUUUCAAUAAUGUGUUUCUUUUUAUUUGAUAAAUUGCUCAUGGAGUAAUAUAUAUAUAUAUAUAUAUAUAUAUAUAUAUAUAUAUAUAUAUAUAGUAGUAGUAGUAGUNNNNNNNNNNNNNNNNNNNNNNNNNNNNNNNNNNNNNNNNNNNNNNNNNNNNNNNNNNNNNNNNNNNNNNNNNNNNNNNNNNNNNNNNNNNNNNNNNNNNNNNNNNNNNNNNNNNNNNNNNNNNNNNNNNNNNNNNNNNNNNNNNNNNNNNNNNNNNNNNNNNNNNNNNNNNNNNNNNNNNNNNNNNNNNNNNNNNNNNNNNNNNNNNNNNNNNNNNNNNNNNNNNNNNNNNNNNNNNNNNNNNNNNNNNNNNNNNNNNNNNNNNNNNNNNNNNNNNNNNNNNNNNNNNNNNNNNNNNNNNNNNNNNNNNNNNNNNNNNNNNNNNNNNNNNNNNNNNNNNNNNNNNNNNNNNNNNNNNNNNNNNNNNNNNNNNNNNNNNNNNNNNNNNNNNNNNNNNNNNNNNNNNNNNNNNNNNNNNNNNNNNNNNNNNNNNNNNNNNNNNNNNNNNNNNNNNNNNNNNNNNNNNNNNNNNNNNNNNNNNNNNNNNNNNNNNNNNNNNNNNNNNNNNNNNNNNNNNNNNNNNNNNNNNNNNNNNNNNNNNNNNNNNNNNNNNNNNNNNNNNNNNNNNNNNNNNNNNNNNNNNNNNNNNNNNNNNNNNNNNNNNNNNNNNNNNNNNNNNNNNNNNNNNNNNNNNNNNNNNNNNNNNNNNNNNNNNNNNNNNNNNNNNNNNNNNNNNNNNNNNNNNNNNNNNNNNNNNNNNNNNNNNNNNNNNNNNNNNNNNNNNNNNNNNNNNNNNNNNNNNNNNNNNNNNNNNNNNNNNNNNNNNNNNNNNNNNNNNNNNNNNNNNNNNNNNNNNNNNNNNNNNNNNNNNNNNNNNNNNNNNNNNNNNNNNNNNNNNNNNNNNNNNNNNNNNNNNNNNNNNNNNNNNNNNNNNNNNNNNNNNNNNNNNNNNNNNNNNNNNNNNNNNNNNNNNNNNNNNNNNNNNNNNNNNNNNNNNNNNNNNNNNNNNNNNNNNNNNNNNNNNNNNNNNNNNNNNNNNNNNNNNNNNNNNNNNNNNNNNNNNNNNNNNNUAUAAGUAAGUAGUAGUAUAUAUAUAUAUAUAUAUAUAUAUAUAUAUAUAUAUAUAUAUAUUCAUGAUGGAAUUGAUCAAUAUCAUUUCAAUAUAUCAAUAUCUUUUGCUUUUUGUUUUACUUUUCCUUCAUUUCAAUAAUGUGUUUGUUUUUUAUUUGAUAAAUUCAUGAUGGAAUAUAAUUCAUGACUAGGAAAUAAAAAAUGAUAAAAUCUCAAUUCCGUUAGCGGAAAAUGUCAAAUGUUACCUCAUAGUAGAAGCUUAAUUAUAAUUAGAUAUUCAACCUAAAGUUGUUAUUAAAGUAGAAUGGAUUUGAUGAAUCAAUCUAUUAGAUAGUGAUUUAUAACAUUAUAUUUACACUUUCCCAUCAACUAGAAAGUGGAAAUAGUCAAUCAGGAACUCUAAAUUAAAUAAUAACAUGAAACGGUCAAAAUAAUUUUAUCAAAACCUAACGUGACUAAGCAACUGAAGAUACAUUAUAGUCGAAAGGAUUGGGCAUUUAACAUAAAAGAACUUUUCGACAUAAAAUAAUACUCUAUUAAAUUAAAUAACAAACAUGUCACUAUACAUUUAAUAUUCUUGAAUUGAUCGGUUAGUAUAUUUUGGUUAUAUUCACUGAACUCUAUGCUUUCACUAACUUCAAAAUAGUUUACUUUUAUUCGGAGAUACCAAAUCAUCGCACCUUUUAAUUACUUGCCUUGCAUAAAUUAUACUCUCUCCGUUCUAAUAAUAGUGUCUCGUAAUUUUUUAACGCGAAGAUUAAGAAAUAUGUAAAAAGUAAAUAAAGUGUGUUUAUAAAAAUUAUUUAUAUAUUAAAUAUAGAUGAAGAAUAUAUUACCAAAAAAAUAAAACAUUUAUAUUGGGACAUCCUAUUAAAAAAAUAGGAUAUUACUAUUGGGACGAAGUGUGCUGAUGUGAAAGUUAUACGUAUAUACUUUUACUGAGAAAUGGCAAAUCAUCGCACCUUUUACUUAACUUGCAUGUAUAAAUUUUAAGCACCUCUUACUUUAUUUGCAUAAAUAUAAGAGGCAGAGGCACAACUAUGUCUCCUAACAAAUUAUUAGUAUUUCCAUAAAAAAAAAAACAAAUUAUUAGUAUUGUUUAAAAAAAAACAAAUUAUUAGUAUUUAUAAAAAUAAUAAUCAUAAUUAAAUUUUAGUGAGGAUGAAUGCAUUGAAGUGUGCCUCUAGAAGGGCCGCACUCCGGAGUCCGGCCACACUAAUUUUAAGUAAUUCUAUUUUUUUUAGGCGAAAGACAAGUAAUUUUAUUACUCAACGUCAAAACGUACAAUGUCCUCCAACCAAGGAGGGUAAUCACUUGUCCAAACCAUGCUACCAACAACAUCACGCGCAGCCUGCGCUAGUCUAUGUGUGGCAAGAUUAGCCGUUCGAUACAUGUGGAAGACUCCCAAUAAGCACUCAUCUCUCGCUGCCGUAAGAAUGUCUUGAAAAUCCUGGGGAAGGAAUGCCCGAUCUUCUUCCGGUCCAUCCAUAAUCCGUGCCGCAAGCAUUGAGUCGGUGAAGAUGGUAAAGGGGGCCAAGUCUUCUUCGACACAAAGGAUGAUCCCAAAGAUCACAGCCAUGACCUCUACCACCAUGGAGUUGGACGUUGGCUGUGUUUUCUUGGCCAUAGCAGCGCGAAUCCUGCCCUCAUGGUCGCGCACAACAACACGGAAAGUACCUCGUUUCGGCCGAAGCCACACCUUCUCUCCCAGCUGUAGGCCCAUCACCGUGUUCACUGCAAACGCCGGUUUAGCAUCCUGGAAAGCAUCCCAGAGCGCCACACAUUCGGUCUCGGUGACACGUCGGUCCUCCCUCUUCCCAUCAUGCUUCGCCUUACACUUCGCCACCCACACCUGCCAAACCAUAACCACCCAAAUCUCAAACUCAUCCUUUUGGAAUUCUUCGCAAAUCGCCCCCGCAACACCCCAGCUCCAUGUGCUGCGCCUUACAUAACGUUGCCCAGAAACGUGAGUUCUGCCAUGUCUUUCUGAGAGAAGAGCAAAACAGUAAGCUGUGGGACGUCCACAAAAGAACUUCCUACCUAUUUUUGGACUAUACCCCACCACUUAUAAUCUUUUAACUUUUCACUUUUCACAACUCUCAAUAUUAAUUAUACUCCAUCCGUCCCAUUAAAGUUGGCCACAUUUCCUUUUUGGGCGUCCCACUAAAGUUGGCUACUUUCCUUUUUGGGUAAAAAUUACACCAAAUUAAACUCUAUAAUUAAGUCAACUAAUCUACACCUAUUAACCUAACCUAUCCUCACUCAUAUUUCUCUCUCUCACACCGCAUCUCCCUCUCGCCUCUCACUCUCUCCCCCUUCUCUCCCUCUCUCCCCCUCUGUUCUUCUCCGGCAGACGCAACCCCCAAGGCCGCCGCCGCCUCUCCCUCUCUCCCCUUCUGUUUUUCUCCGGCGAACGCAACCCCCAUGGCCGCCGCCGCCUCUCCUCCCUCUGUUCAUCUCCGGCGAACGCAACCCCCCAUGGCCGCCGCCGCCUNUCCCUCUCUCCCCCUCUGUUCUUCUCCGGCGGACGCAACCCCCAUGGCCGCCGCCGCCUCUCCCUCUCUCCCCCUCUGUUCUUCUCCGGCGGACGCAACCCNCAUGGCCGCCGCCGCCGUCUCUCCCUCUCUCUCCCUCUGUUCAUCUCCGGCGGACGCCAUCCCCAUGGCCACCGACUAUAGUUCAAGCCGACCGCGGAACGAUGUAUGGAAUGUUCAGUGAACCGAUAAAUUUUGCAAUUUUGAGAUAGGGUUUGGGAAUUUUUGAUGAUUUUCAAUAGAAGGUCAGAUUGCUUUAUGGAAUUGGGGCUUUUUGAUUCUGCAUUCUGAUUUGGUUUGGAGUGUCUGGUGUUGGGGUCAGAUUUUGUUUUUGAUUCUCUGGCAGCUCUUUGUCGCCGGAGAAGAAGGUAAGAACUUUGUCUUUGGCGGCGGUGGUGGUUGUUGGCAACGGUGGUGGUGGUUUUUGGCAGAUUUGAGGGUGGUUGGCUCUUGGAUUGGGAGGGAGACGAGGGGGACAGAGGGAGACGAGGGUGGCGGCGACUUCGCCGGAGGAGGGAGUGGCUGAUGCCGGCGACUUCGCCGGAGGUGGGUGGCAGUGCAGGAAGAAGAAAGUGAAAGGAGGAAUAAAUUAUUUUAAUUAACUCAAUAAUUUUGAUGGGCCCCACUCAAUUAAAACAUAACACUUCAUUUCUUAAUCUCCGUGCCGAAACAAAUGUAGCCAACUUUAGCGGGACGGAGGGAGUAACACAUUUUCACCACUCCCAAUACACUCAACUAUCUUUUAUCCACUCUCAAUACACUCAACAAUAUUUUUUCUUAAAACCCGUGUCAUUCCCUCAUAGGAAGUUCUUUCAUGGACGAAUGGAGUAUUAUUUUAUAAAUAAUUGACUGAUGUUUGUAGACAUUUGUUCGGAAGUUUUCAUCUUGACUGAAUAUAUAAUGAGUUUACAAUUAAAAUGUUGUAAAUACAAAUCCAACAUUCUAGAUCGAGCAUUUUGUAUUGUGAGCUCAUCUUGAACAAUUUAUACUUUUUAGGGUUCGUUUCCUUCCAUGAAAAAAGGACAAUUUCACUAUUUUUACAUAUUUUCAUCAUUUUUUCACAAUUUCCACAUAUUUAUUAGUAUGAUAUAAAAUUUUCUCAUGGCAAUAUUUUUUCGGACAACUUAUUUUCUCUCUAAUAUUGGAUAAUACUCCCUCCGUCCCCUAAAUAACUUCCUAAUGUUUCUUUUCGGUCCGUCCCCAAAAAAACUUCUUUUUUCAUUUUUGAAUACUACUUCACCACAAUUAAUUCUCUAUUUACCCUUAUUUUUUACAUUUUCAUCACUCUCAAUACUCCAUCUAUCCUUACUUUUUACAUUUUCAUCUUAAAACUCAUAUAUCUUCCUUAUAGUAAACAUGUCAUAAAAAGAAAAGAAAAAAUAUACUAUGUAUAUUUUUUUUCUUAUCCAUUGUUUUUCAAUGAAAAUUUUACAAUUGAUAUAAAUGCAAUCCUUAUACUCCCUCCAUCCCAUUAAUCUUAUCUUAUUUUGCUUUUUGGGUUGUCUCAAUAAUAUUAUCUUAUUUUUAUUUUUGGUAAUAAAUUUACACUACAAACAAUAUAAUCUCACACAUUUACACACUUUUAGGGAGCGUUUACUUUGCAUGAUUGAUAAAAUGAAUGAUUGAGUAUUUUUAUCCUCAAGAGUAGGAUAACUCCAAUCUCACUCUUUUCACGCGAUAUGAAUUAAGUAAAACUAGCUUGAAUGAUAAAAAUAAUCAAGUGCUUUGAGAUAUCUUAAAGUUACACUCCAUCAAAGUAAACAAAGGACUAAUCUUACUAUUUUUAUCAAUUAAUACUAAAAACGUCUUAAUUUAACUCUUUUUAAUUAAUAAUGGUGCCAAAAAAAAUAGGAUAAGCUUGUUGGACGGAGGGAGUAUGAUUCACAAAUCAUUCCUAAACCACGCUGACUAGCAACAGUGCUACGUUUAUCUUGGGAAGGAAGAAAUAGAGAAGACGAAGAAGAAUGAAACGUAGUAGCUGGGAAUAUUUCACUUGAGUGAUAAUUGAAUAAGUAUUUAUUUGGGUAUUGAAAAUUGAAAAUAAAAAAUUAAUGUGAAGCACAUCAAGUGGGCCCGCAUCCCAAAAUUGGAGGUGAAGGUCGUUGACCCUACCCUCAAACAUGUUCGCCCAACUUCCAUCCAUUCACACUUGAAUAUUUGCGUACAUGCUAACAUAUAAAAAAGAUGCAAAAUUAACAAAUUUCUCGUCGGAGUCAAUGAAUAACUAUUUUGAUCUUCAAACUAAACUCAACAACGGAUAAUUUAUACUAUAUAAAAAGUCACUACUACAUUUUCAUUUGACGAGGCAAAUAAAAAAAAUCGUUAUUAAUGCUAUUCUCAUUGUCCUCAUUAAAGAUUACUCUUUUUUCAUUUUGAUUUGUCAUGUUAAAACUAAUCUAAUUUAUAAAGAUAAUUGAAAAGGUCUUUAAAAGAUGUGUCCUACCACUUUUAUUCAAUUUAUACUUUUUUUUUAAUUUUGAUUUGAAAAGAAAUAAACAAUUUUUUUUCUUAUGUGUAUUAUUUCACAAAUCACAAAAAAAAUAAUAAUAAUAAUCAACUCUCAAAAUACUAAAAGGUUAAAAAUUUCUAUGAUGAAAUAAUCAACUCUCAAAAUCAAUUAGUAUUAAUUAAAGCACGCGAAAUUUAUUGAAAAAAAAAUUGAAGAAAAUGCGAAAAGUUUAUAGGAGGAACACCAGAAAAAAAAAAAAAAAGAUAGAAAAAAAAGAAUGAUUUUUGUGUAACUCAAGUCUCCCCAAAGAAAGUAAAAUAGUAUUUUUCAUAUUUUAUAUAAUAUUGAUUCAUGCUUUCCCAAUUAUUCUCUAACAUUCAAGGUGACGAUGAAAUGAGAUUUUAUUAAGAAAAGGAAACCAACUAAAACCCUUGAGAGCAUAAGGCGCAGACUAAGGGUCGAGUGUCGUUAAAAUCUCUGAAGGAUAAGAGGAAAAAGAGUACUCGUCUAAGCAAAAAACUGAGAGUGGGGGGAAAGGAGCGGAGGUGGAACUACCUCAGAAGCUCCGGCCGAACCAUUACCUCUAGAUAGCCCCGGCUCAUUCCACCCAAAUAACACAUUAAAAAUAAAUUGCAAAAGCGAGAGCAACAAGCAAAAAAACACAAAGCAUGACAAACCAAAAACCCCCAAAAGAUAAAACAAUGAGGGACUAAAGAGCAACCCAAGGAGUCCGACCGAGAACCGGCCAGAGCCCAGCGCACCGAAGCUCUGAAAAAAGCAGACCCGACACUCCGCACCCAAACCCCAAACCGAACAACUAACAACCAUCAAAAAAUGACCCAUAUAAGUCUUGUGGCUGUCUUUGCGAACCAGCUGUGCAAUUUCAGGCAUAGGCACCGACCAGAAACCAUUGGUAGAAACAUUGGAGGCCAGAUAAUCGCCGACACGAUUGCCCUCCCUAUAAAUGUGUGAAAUACGAACGUAAAAACACAUAAAUUUUAAAAAAAAAUAUAGAUAUUCCCAUUUAACUAGCAAGUGACUUCAAAGUGCAUCAUCAUCAUCAUAAUAAUAAUAGGUGGGAAUUACUAUGUAAAAUUAAAAAGUUGUGGGAAACAUCCGAAAACAAUGUUUACACGCAAUUAAUCCUUUUAGAAUUUGAUUUGAGUUAUACUCCAUUAUCUAUCUGGGCAACAAUUAAUCCUACAUGAACUCUCAAAUUUUAUUAUCUGGCGUUUCAGCCGAUAAUUAAAAUAUUACCUUUUAUGUACAUAAAAAUGACGUUUUCUUUUUCGAAAAUCACGCUCCAUGAAGUCUACCGCUCGCAACAUAACACGAAAGAUUAAAAAAAACGGCAUUUUAUGUUUCAUAAAAAAAACGUUUCAAUUAUCAAUUGAAAUGACACGUAAUAAAAUUUUGACGUCCAUAUAAGAUUAAUAUUAAUUAAUUAAGAUCAAAUUCAAAAAUAUUAAAAGUUUAGUUAUUAAUUGAAAAAAGAAAAGUAUGGUCCAAAAAUCAAAAUUAAUUUUCCAAAACUAGAUACACAUGCAAUUAAAACCUAAUAUUUCCACUUAUAUUAUCAGAAAAAAACAGAUACUAUCAGAAAACAGAGAGAGAUGAGUUUGAAAAAGUCCACAGAAGAAAGUUUUCUUCCUCAGCUUAUUAUAUGCAUAUAUAUAUAUAUAUAUAUAUAUAUAUACACACACACANNNNNNNNNNNNNNNNNNNNNNNNNNNNNNNNNNNNNNNNNNNNNNNNNNNNNNNNNNNNNNNNNNNNNNNNNNNNNCUCUCUUCAUCUUUAUCCCACUUCUCCUCUCCCAUUCAAAUCCUAGAGAGAGAGAUGGGAAACUGCUGGCCCAAACCUGUUGCCAGCAACAGCACCAGACCUCCCAGCCCAGGUAUAUACUAUAUGCACACACACACACACAGAGCCACGGACACGAUCUGAUGAGCGUCCGAUAAAUUUUCUUUUAAUUAAUUUGUUAUAUUUAAUUAGGUUGUAAUUUGAGUUACUAUAUGAAAUUAUGAUUUCGUUCCGUCCCGUCCAAACUUGUAUCCUUUAUCAGUUCAGACGGGCCUCAACAGGAGCAACAGCCCUCCGCCGCCGCGGACUGCGGCGGCGAUUCCACCUAGCGGCCAGAUCAAAACUCCGAAUCUAAAAAUGUUCACCUACGCCGAGCUAAGAAGCGCCACCAGGAAUUUCCGGCCGGAUACGGUGCUCGGAGAGGGAGGUUUCGGAAGAGUUUUCAAAGGCUUCCUCGACGAGAAAACCCUAGCGCCGUCGCGAGUCGGCGUCGGAAUGCCCGUCGCCGUGAAGAAAUCGAAUCCCGACAGCGAACAAGGCCUCAAAGAGUGGCAGGUAACACAUUAAUUAAUUUUUCACGAAAAUAUUAAUAUUUCAUGAUCAUGAGUACAGGUCAAUAUCUAGUUUUUAUCGCUAAUGCAUGUGCUCACGCUAUCAUCAUUUUUAACUAAGUAAAACUAAUCAUUAAUUACGGAACAUACACUACAAGAAAACAAAUGAUUACCAGUGGCGUUUGCCGUCGGUAAUUUCAAGGCGGCCGCCGGAAAACGAACUAACGCCGCCGGAUAACACAAUUACCGACGGCAAAACACACCGCCAGUAAUUACCGGCGGCGGUACCGCCAUUAUAAUUCGUCGGUGAACGGCGGAGAACUACCGGCAUAUUACCGGCGGCAGCUUGUCGCCGGUAAUUACCUGCUGCGAUUUUGCCGCCGGCAAUCUUCACCGAAGGGCGGUGGUGUUUUCCGCCGGAUACUGUGUCCGCCGGUAAUUGUUUUUGAAAUUUAUUUAUUUAUAUAUAUUUUUAUUUAUUUUAUUUAUUUAUUUAUUUCAUAAGUUAGACGAACUUUUCAGUCGGUCACUCAUCUUAGUUGUGCUCUAAGUCAAGCAUGCUUAACUUUGAAGUUACUUUUGAAUGAUCACCAGUACAGAACACUCGUAUUAUUGAUAUAUAUAGUAUCUAUUAAUUCAUUUAAAGUAAUUAAAUUUAAAACAAUCAUUCAUUGGACCGCCGGUAAUUGCCGGCGGUAGCUCUGCCGCCGGUAUUUCGGCGUUUUUUUGUGGUGAUAUAGCAUGUAAUUUGCAUGUAACAUGUGCUGCUUAAUUAUGUAUAAUUAAACGGCAAUUAGUAGUAAUUUCAUAUGAUGAUUGCAGUUAUAAUAUAAAGAUGGUAUGUGAAUUAGGCCUGCAAUUUCUUCAUCGAAAAGUCAACAGCCAAACUUCCUACGUGUUUCAUUAAAUACGCAGUUUGAUUACAUUGACCCAUUAAUACUUUUAAAAUAGUUUUCCUUCUUCCCAAUCCAGAUAUUUUUCGAGUAAAUUAAUAGUACUACAUGUUUUGAAAUUUUUCUAUGAUUAUCUUGACUUUUUAAGUAUAUAUUAAUUAUUUUCUAUUGGUGCAGGCGGAGGUAAAAUUCUUGGGAAAAUUCAGCCAUCCAAAUCUUGUGAAAUUGUUGGGUUAUUGUUGGGAGGAAAGGCAGUUUCUCCUUGUCUAUGAAUACAUGCAGCGAGGAAGCUUAGAAAGUCACCUAUUCAGAAGUAAUAAUCCACUAGCCUAUCUGGUUUUCAUUUUUGAUUAGUACAUUGUUUUUUUUUUUUNCCAAGAAAAUAGUUACAUGAAAAAAUUAAAAUAGUUAUAUAUAUUUGAUUAAAUUAUGAUUUUUAGAGAUUGAUUAAUUACUGUUUACAGAGGGAGGCGAGCUAAUUCCCUGGGAUAUUAGGAUUAAAAUAGCCACCGGAGCAGCUCGAGGAUUAGCAGUCUUGCACACUACUGAAAAAACAGUAAUCUAUAGAGAUUUCAAGGCCUCAAACAUAUUACUCGAUAAGGUAAUUAAUACUCACAGCAUUUUAUAUAUGCUUGAUUUAAUUCGAGUUCUAUGAAAAUGAAUCUAUAUACGCACGACGACCUUUUUUUAUUUGAUAGUAUUACAUUUCUGAUUAGCCCAUGUUUCUUAUUUUUAGGAUUUCAAUGCAAAGCUUUCCGAUUUUGGACUUGCUAAAUUAGGUCCAGUCGAUGGCAAUUCUCACGUAACAACUAAGGUUGUUGGCACCUAUGGCUACGCUGCCCCUGAGUAUAUAGCUACAGGUAGCUACAUUUUAUCAAAUACUCCACUAAUUAAUUAACAGUUUUUAAAAUUAAAAUUAAUUACUAUUCAUAAUUGCUUGCAGGCCAUUUGUACGUGAAGAGUGACGUGUAUGGUUUUGGGGUGGUAUUGUUGGAAAUAAUAACGGGCUUGCGGGUUCUCGACCCGAACCGGCCCAGCGGGCAGCUUAAUUUGGUGGAUUGGGCCCGACCGUCCCUACCCGACAAAAAGAAGCUCAAAAAAUUAAUGGAUCCACGUCUGCAAGAAGAGUACCCACCAAACGCUGCAUGUGCAACAGCCGAGCUCAUACUAAAAUGUCUCGAGCCCGACCCGAAAUGCCGGCCCGAUAUGGAGGCUGUUUUGCAGAGUUUGGAAGAGAUUAGCCACAUUCAAAUGAAGCCCAAGAAACAAAGAGGCGAGCCGAAGCAAGGCCCACAACACCACCACCAGCUGCCGUUGCCCCACCAUGCCUACCGCGGAAGUGGCGGAGGUAGGGGUGGCGCCGCCGGGCAUCGGCAACAUAAUGCCCGUAGUUAAUUACUAACGGAUUUUGAUGUUGUUGGGCGUAUAAAUAACAUAGGCCCACAUUUUUUUUAUGCCCGAAUUGGAGGCCUAGUAUUAGACGUUGUGCUACUUGUAGGAAAUAUAUAUGUGUAUAAUCAAUGUCGAUGUUGUGUUGUUUUGGUUAUUGGAUAGUGUGAUAUCCUAUUAUUUCUCUACAUUUGAUUUUGCACCCAAUUGUCCAAACAACAUGAAUAAUUUAAGGAAGCGAAUUCGCUUGGAAACUACGUAUGGGUUGAGGCCCAUAAACAAAUUACUACUUAAUGAGAUGUAUCUCGUAAUAAUAUGUUUAUAUCUGAGGUUCUAGUAAUGAGUUAAAAUAAUUUUUUUUUAAAUAUAAAUUAAAAAUUAAGUUUAGCACUUAGAUCAUGAAGGGAGCAAAAAAAAAUUAACUUCAUUCCUUUAUACAGGAAAUUUAUACACAUUCCACAUUAAAUUCGUGAGUUCAUAAUUUAUAUUUUAAAACGAAUUUAUGAACAAACCCACCCCUGAGGUUCUUCUAUACAACACAUAAUAUUUGUGAAUUUAGAUCAAAUUCUUAGUUAAUGUAAUUUUGUUUAGGUAUAAAUCAUUAAAGCUAGUUAAAAUAAUGAUGUAUUUUACAUGGUGGUCAUUUUAACUUGGGGUUCAAUCCCACUUGCGAGCGGUGUAGUUUUUUUUAUUUUUGUGCAUGGAUAGUGUUUUCAUUUUUGUGUGGAUAGUGGUUCCACCUGUUUGAAACUAUUUCCCACAUUUUGUGGUGCAGAGGUACUGUUUGCGUGAAAAUUACUUAUUUAAUUAUGUUUAAAUAUCUUUUGUAAUUCUAAUUAGAAAAAAAUAGAAAGUAAAGACAUUUAAUAGACAGAAGUAGAUAAGAAGGUAACACACAUAAACCGCAUUACAAUAAAAAGGCCAAAUGUGUCCAAGCACAUAGAUAUUACAACACGCAAUAAACUUUACAGAAGUAAAAAGAAAUUACGAUGGACGAUAAUUGUAGUUGGAAACACCCGAUUAUGUUUACACCACUUAUUACUUCAUCAAAACAUAUAGGAAUAGGAGUAUAUGCUUUGUUGCUUCCUUCACAUGGUUGGCCUCACAUUCAGACGGGACGCCAGUUUCUGACCAAGGGACUUGUCGACCUGCGCCGCAAUUAACGCUAAUUAAUAUACUCCAAAUAAUUAAAUACACAUAUAGAUAUAAUUAAGAUUAAAGUUGGUACCUGAGUCCACCACGAUAUCCAAAUAGCACGUAUCUCGUGGGUGAGACGGGGAUCCGAUAACGCAUCAACCCAUCGCUUCACAAAUCUGUCUUGCCUGUCUGGUGCCCAUGAACGGUAUCUGACUCCGGGUUCCUUGAAGUUAUUCUCCUUAUCGAUGCACACCCUUUCACGUCUCCCGGUUAUGACGGCGGUGGGAAUGGGGUGCUUCUCGGCAUGGCGGCAAGGGUCAUACUUGGAGGGGAAAUAAUUCACCUCCUCAUCCCUAUGCAUGAAGUUCAUGAAGCCAUCAUGGUGGUUGUUGCGAUGGGGGCAUUUCGGGCAUUCACCGGCAGCAUCAGGUGGUUGGGCCCAAGCCUAUGGCGCUGCGUGUCUCCAUACGCAAAAGUCCGGCAUUGAAGCAUCUUGUCGUUGGAGAAGUAAAUCCCGGGCACGAUGACGGAGGGAUUGAAGGCCAGCUGCUCAUUCUCCGUGAAGAAAUUGUCAAUGUUCUUGUUGAGCACCAUCCUCCCCACGGGCUGCAGGGCAGGAUGUCCUCCGGCCACGUCAGCGUCACGUCCAGCGGGUCGAAGUCGAACUUGUCCUCGUCCGCCGGGUCCAUGAUCUGGAUGAACAGCUUCCACUCGGGGAAGUUGCCGGCGGUGAUGGAGUCGUACAGAUCCUUGGUGGCGUGGCUGUGGUUGGCGCCGCCGAUCACCUUGGCCUCCUCGUCCGAGAGGCACUUGAUGCCGCAGGUGGGCUUCCAGUGGAACUUCACGUAGUUGACCUUGCCGGCCUUGUUGAUGAGGGUGAAGGUGUGCACGCCGAAGCCCUCCAUGUGCCGGUAGUCCUGCGGGAUGCCGUAGUCGUCGAAGAAGAAGGUGAAGGUGUUGAGGCUCUCCGGGAUGUGGGAGAAGAAGUCCAGGUAACGCCAUGUUUCCUGGAUGUGGGAUUUCGGGUUCGGUUUCAUCGCGUGGAUCAGGUCCGGGAACUUCAUCCCGUCCCGGAUGAAGAACACCGGGAUGUUGUUUCCCACCAUGUCGAAGUUUCCCUAAUCAAUAAAUUAAACAAACACCAAUUUGGUCAUUGUUGAGCUAUUUUUUAAUUUUUCUUUUUAGCAAAUCAUUUGAGCUAAUAUGUACCUCUCUGGUGUAGAAUUUGAUGGCGAAACCCCGAGGGUCCCGAAGGGUUUCGGGGCUGCCGCGUUCGUGGAUGACGGUGGAGAAGCGGAUGAUGAGCGGGGUUUGAACGCCCGGUGCUCGGAGGAAAUCGGCGCAAG
RNAcentral lists this long non-coding RNA (85406 nucleotides) under Salvia miltiorrhiza (redroot sage). RNAcentral describes it as "long non-coding RNA (SMIL_LNC007014)". Lineage: Eukaryota; Viridiplantae; Streptophyta; Magnoliopsida; Lamiales; Lamiaceae. The record is from RNAcentral.